Molecule: long non-coding RNA, 63148 nt
Filed under: Gossypium barbadense (sea-island cotton)
Lineage: Eukaryota; Viridiplantae; Streptophyta; Magnoliopsida; Malvales; Malvaceae
Description: long non-coding RNA (GBAR_LNC006780)
Rfam family: MIR7502 microRNA precursor family (bases 1085-1217)
Source: RNAcentral
AAAAAAAAAAAACUUUGAUCUAAGCUUUGAGGAACUAAAGCAUUUACCUUCCAUGGGUUCUGAAUUUUUCCCCUAUUUUUUUUACUGGGUACCCCUUUGUUUUUUGUUUUUCCUUCAAUAUUUGGUCCUUUGAUUCGAUUUCAAAAAGGGAACCACCAUUUCAGCGAAUUCAAAAUCUGGGUUUUCAAUUUUGCAAUUCUAUCUUAGUUUUAAACAUCAUUUCAAGAGAUGGAAAGAGAGAGGUGAAUAGAAAGAUUCUGAUUGGAAAAAUGAAAAGAACGAAGAAGAAGAAGAAGAAGAAGAAAAAAAAGAAGGGAAGUGUUUGUUUGUUUUUGGGGUGUUUUUUUUAUAUUUAUUUUCUUGUUCAUUUCCAUUUUGUUUUCGAUUAUUUGAAGAAUUUAACGGUUGUAGUUUUGUUUUGGUUUUGGAUUUAAUUAAAAACCCAGAUUUGGCUUUUGGCUUUUCUUUUUUCCUUUUUCAAUGAUUUGUCCAUUCUUUUUUUAGUCACCAUUUUCUUCCCCAGAAAAAUCAAAUUUUGUUUACCAGUAGGGGUCAAAAGAUUAGAAGUCUAAUUUUGCUACUAUUCCCUUUACUUUUCAAAUAUUUAAAAUUUAGUAUCUCCUUCAAUUAUGUAAUUGAUAACCCUGUUUAAUUGGAAACCCUUGCACGAGAAGUCAGCUUGCAUUUUAACUUCUUCACUAAAAAAUAAAUAAAUUAACAUGUUAGAUGAAAGAGUAAAUUUGUUCUUUCUAUUAAAAUUUGCAUCCAUUUGUUAAUGGUAGAAAUGGAUAAAAAUUUUAAUAGAAUGACCAAUUUACUUUUUGAUCUACUAUAUAGGGACUAAUUUGCUCAUUUUUUUAGAAGACAAUAUGAAAUCCAACUGUAAUUUAUCGAUUAUAUGAUAUUUCUUUUUAAAAUUUUGUUCAUGCGACCAACAUAAAGCCUUGGGAAAAUAUAAAUAAAUUGGAUAAAAGUACUAUAAAGGCUAUUAUAUUAAGAGUUGAAUUGCAUUUUGACUAAUCUACUUUAAAAAAAAGGGCAAAUUAAUCAUUAUAUGUUAGAUCAAAGAGUAAAUCAGUCAUUCUGUUAAAAAUUUUACCCAUUUCUACUAUUAAAAACUAGUCUUUAUAUGUCAACACGAGGAGUAUGCACGUGCCAUAGGUUAUUCUAUCAAGCAUGCCAGUUUUUAACGGUAGAAAUUAAUGAAAUUUUUAAUAGAAAUGAUCAAUUUACUCUUUAAUCCAAUGUUCAAGAACUAAUUUACUUAUCUUUUUUAGUAGAAUAAGCAAAAUGCAUUGUAACACCUAGUAUAAGGACCUCCAGGAUAUUUUGACCCAUCAAUCGAUUUUCAUUCUACAUCUCUAAAAUAAUAUUAAACGAUCUUAUAAUCCCGUAUUCAAAAAAAAAGGAAGUCCUUUUUUUUAUCCAUUAUUUGUGUUUUUUUUUUGUCUAAUGUCAUAUCUAAAUUUGCUAAAAGUUAUACAUUUUUGUAUCAAGAAGUAAUUGUGUUAACAUUUUAGUGUUUUGUUUGAGAUGUUGAUAUGAUGAAAGUUAAUUGCUAAUAUUAUAGGUUCGAAUUUUUCAUGAUUUUAUCAAUAGAAUAAAUUUAGUGUUAAUUGUGGAUUUAUUUAUUUAUUUGUGUUUAAUUUGUUAAAUAUAAUCUAAUGGUUAUGUGUGUUUUAGUUUUAUGGUUAAUUUUAGGGAAAAGUACAUCAGCAGUCACUGAACACUGAUUAAAAUAACAUUUCAGCCACUAAACUUUUAAAAGUGACAAAUCAAUUACAAACGUUUACGAAAAGUGACAAACAAGUCACUCGAGCCCAUUUUUUGUUACAAAUGUAAUCAAAAGUUGACGUGACAUUUUAAGGUGCCACGUUGGACAUGACCUAAUGUCCGUAUCAAAUGCUUUUAUCAGUUUAUAAGGAUUACCAACUAAAUAGAGGAAACCUAGCUGGAAGAAGGAGAAGAAAAAAAAUGGAGAUACCCACUGUAAUUUUGAUGUGCUACCAUGGAAACUCAGCCAAUUUAAGGACUUCUUGGUCCAAUGACAACCCAAGUAGGAAGUUUUUUGGGUGCAAGAAGUAUGGGAGUGGGUUUCAAAAUGCAUGUCAUUUUUUUGCCUAGGUUGAUCCACCAUUGAUGCUCCGCUCACGAUUCAUGUUGUUGGGUCUUUUGAAAAAAGUCAGAACAAUGGAGGAUGCAAGGAGGGAGAGAAAAAUAUGAUUGAUGAUGUUGUUUUCUGUAAUUUUGUUGUGCUACUCGUUACAAUUGAUAGAACACCUUCGGUUGGUUCUCUUCUAUUAACCAUUCCGACAAUGUUGAAAAUUUGCAUAAUGAUUUCCCAAUUUCGAAUAAUUUCAAUCCCUUCUCCAAUGAUUCCCUUAAAAUUUCAAUCGUUUUUCUUUUUCUCCUAAACGAUUUUUUUUUAUUUAACCAAAUUGUUUUGUCUUGUCAGUUUCUUCUCAUGCUUUAAUUGUUUUUUUUUUGCACAUUAAGUUAAUUUUUUUCGAAUCACACCUUGAAAAUUAAUUACCCAUUAAAUGAACUUUUAGCCAUGUCCAACAUGGCACCCUAACAGGCUACAUCAAUUGUCCCAUUAGGCUUGUAAUAGAAAAUGGGCUUGAGUGACUGAUUUGUCAUUUUUUAUAAACAUUAGUGAUUGAUUUGUCAUUUUUAAAAGUUUAAUGACUAAAAUGUUAUUUUAAUUAAAGUUUAGUGACUAAUGAUUUACUUUUUCCUUAAUUUCAUGAAAAUUAAUUGCAUGAUAGACAAGAAUUUCAAAUCAUUCUUCAUAUAUCCAAAUCUAUAAAAUUCCAAAUUCUCUUUAUUUAUAUAUAAAAUCAGAAUUGAUUGGUGGAUUCAGAUAUUCGAAUCCAUAUCCACAUUCGUUAUUUGGAUAACCAAUGCAGAUUUAAAUAAUAGAUAUCUGAAACAAUUAUUUUCAUCUGUCUGAAUAUGCAAUAAACAAUAUUUUUUUUGAAUAAAACUCGCCGGUAUUAUUAUUGCACGGCUCAAGGCAACAGACACGUCUGAAAAGAUAGGCACUAGAAGAAAAAGGAAACAGCUGUCUAAGCAGGUAAUAAAUGAACUCCUAGAAACUACCAAUAAAAGAAAGCAGAAAGAUAACAUCUUGAGCCAAACCUCUUCAUCUUCAAAAUAUCAGCCAAGCCUCUCUCCAAAAAUUGAAAAUCGGAGCCGAGUAAAGGAGAGAGCAAAAGCUUUGAACACCACGUUGGGGAUUCAUCGAACCUUCUCCAAUUUCAAAGCCACCAAGGGGAACCUUAGAGACUCUGGAACCAUGCCAAUCUGUCUGCCGUCACAAUCUUUUUCACCGAUUCAGGAACGCCAUUACCCCAUCCACCACAAAUCUGUCUUCUCCGGCCUUCCAAUGCAAGAGUAUAGGCUGCUCCGUUAACCAUUCGGGGCACAAACAGGUAAGAUACCUCAUCAAAACUCAACCCCAUUUUGCAAAUAUGUUGAGUAAUAGGCCUAAGAACCGAUUUGUCUUCCCCCUCCCUUCUUAAUGCUCUUGAUAACUGACAAUGAGUCACCUUCUACUAGCAGACGCCGAAUGCCCAUCUCAGCCGCGUAGACAAUAUUUUUAAAAUUCAAGUUCAAAUAUAUAUUCUUAAUCUAAAUUGUGACCCCACAUGGGUAGACAGUAGAGUUUGUUCAUAGUUCGAACAAAGCUCGGUUUCAAAAAAAAAUUUAUGCCCAAACUUUUUUUUAGGUCUACUCAACUUGUCUAAAAAGUUCAUUUUAAUAUUCAAAAAUUAAUAAAGUAUUCAAAAAAUAUAUUUUUAAUUGAUAUUUUAUAUAUUUAUAACUAAUUUUAAAUUUUAAAAAUAUUUUUUAUUAUUUAAAUUGAAAUCAAACCAAGUUGAACUCCCUUAUCCAAUCCAAGCUCAAGUUGAGUCGGGCCUAUCGAGUUGGAUGGACUACCCUACCCUUAAAUAAGUUUGGUAGGCAACUAUAUAAGGCCAACCCUACCCAUUGGGCCUCACUAUACAUUUUUUUUAUUUGGAUUUAAAAUAAAAUAAAAUUUAAAUAUUCAUUUAUCAUUAAAAAUUAAUAAUUCAAAGAAUGGAUUUUCAGUUUUCUUGAUUUAGAGAUAAGAUUGUGGUUCUUAUAUGGGCCCAUAAUCCAUACUGGCCCAUUUAAACACAAUAUAUAUAUAUAUAUUCAUGUACUCGUAUGUGUACCAAACUCUCGAUUUUAUAUAAGUAGCUAACAACGAUUAGUCUUAAAUUGGUUAGUGUCGACUCUAUUAAAAUAAUUUUCACGUCUAGCUUGCUAGAAAUUUUCUAACACGUUUUAGACAUGGUGGACCUUAAUGAAUUUAAAAACAAAGUUGUUGUAAUCAUCGCCAACACCAUCCACCCUACCUGGCCUAUUAAGGGUGUGAUACAUGCUUCUUCUCUAUAGGCAGAGUCUAAACACCUAUCAUGGCAUAACACAACAACAUCAACCAAGGUAAGAUUUGGUACAUAAUCACAUUUAUAAUUUCCAAAUGGUGAUAUACCAAAUUCUAGUCAAGAUAUUCUACGAACGAAUUUCUAUUCAUCACUUGUCAAUAUCGAUAUUAUAAUUUCCACAUGUUUAUUGUACUUAAUUUUGAUAAAUUAUUUGAUUUUUGAUCCAGUGUAAAAGUAUGAUCGGAUAGUCAAAAAGAGACGGAAUCCGAACUGUCGUAAAAAUUUUGAGCUACCGUGACAUAAUUUUGACAACUUUAUUUUUGGGAAUUUAUUUAUAAAAAAUAAUAUUUAUACUUUUUAUUAAGAUAAUAUUUUAAUUUUCUAGUAUUUUAUCUUUUAAUUUUUAUUGAGAACUUUUUAAUAUUUUUUUCUACAUAAACCCUAUACGUUUGUUUUGGAGAAUUGCUUUCAAUUCAUCUCCUUUCCCUGAUUUUCAAUUACGUUCAUUUUGAUUUACUGAAAAAUAUAUGGUUGGAUUCGUAAGGAAAUAGCAAUCAAAUCUAAAUGAUCUGUGCGGUUCGAGUUGGGAUCAUGAGUAUAAUUUAUCGUAAAUUUAUCUUGUAUUUUAUAUCUUAUUUAAUUUUUAUUAUAAUUCAUAUCUACGUAGCCAAUCCCAAACAAAGCGUCACUAUUGUCCUUAUAUUGGGCCCAAAUUUGUUAUCUGUACACCAAGUGGAGUGAAAAAUAAUUUUACCCAUACCUAAUUAUAGUGAAGUUUUUUUUUAUUAAUAUUUUUACUUUUAAAUAGUAAUAAAUUCGAUCACGUUUAAAUAAAUCUCGAGUUUAAGUUUAGUGGAUUGAAAAAAUAAUAUUGCGAGAGGUUUGUCAAAACAAAUCGAAUUUAGACUACUAAAUAUUUUCCUGUAAUUCUUUAUUUUUUAUAUAAAAUAAAUUUUUUAAAAAAACUCUUAAUAAAAGCUCUCACAUUUUCUUUUGAAUAAAAAAAAUGAACUUUAUGUCUGAUCAAAUUAAAAAAUUAAAUAUAAAAUAUUAUAAAUUUUAAAAAAUAACAAAGUAAAGCGGAGCCUUGACUCAUAUUCCAAACGAAUUUAUUUUUUUUCCUCAAAUUCAUUUUUCAAAUUUAAUAUUUUUUCAACGAAGACUUCCCAAUAAGACAUUUUUAUUUCUAUUUUUGUAAUUCUUCCAUUUUGUUUGGAAUUGGACAUUUUUUACAUAUUGUAUAAAAUACAAAAUUCCCAGAUCUGGCAUGACAGUCCGUGACUGACCACUGCUCUACGGACCAAUCAAACACUGACACGUUUUGUUCUAUUAAACAUACUUUCACUGACAAUUUUCGUAGGCUUUCCUUUUUGCAGUAAAUCCAAUGCUACUUCUUACUUCUUACAUCUUACUGUCCUCAAACUCGCCCACUUGCACGCGCCAAACUUUUUCCUUUUAAGGUAAAUAUACUCUUUUGCGCCUAAGUUGGCAUUAAUGUUCAAUUUGGUACAUUUAUUUUUCAAAUUAAUAAAGGAUUUAACUUUAGUCACACGUAUAAUCACAACAUUAAUAUUUCCUGUCAAUUGUAAUAAUUGGUGCGAUAAUAAAUUUAGCCAUUGAUGUUUUAUAUAUUUCAUGUAGAUAUUGAUAGAAUUUGUAAACGUUACGGGAUAGAUUUGUUAAAUCAACACCAAAUGUUGAUCGCUAUAAUUAAAAAUUUAAACAUUGAUUUUUUAUAUUAUGUGUAAAUGUUGUGAGCUAAAUUUAUUAAAUGAGAUUAAAUUGACAAAAUGUGUAAACUUCGAGAACUAAAUUUAUUAUCAUACCAACAUAAAAAUGGACAAUUGACAAAAAAAUCGUUAAACAUUGUGACUAAUUACCCUUAAUCGUUCUCUUUUAAAAAUCGAUAGAAAUUAAAUUGCACUCAUUAUCAUACUCAGGAGCGUAGUUGUGAGGCUGGUCAGGGCCUUGGUCCCUACUAAAAUAAAAAAAAACUUCUAAUCUAUUAAAAAGGUGAAAUUAUAUUUUUACUAUCAUAAAAAUUAAAAUUUAAUUUCGGCCACUUUAAAAAAAAUUCUAGCUUUGUCCCCUAAUCAUAACAACAACAAAAAAUGUACAAUUGACAAAAAAAAUUUAAAGAUUGUGGUUAAUUACCCUUAAUUAUUCAAUUUAAAAAAUCGAAAGAACUUAAGAUGCACUUUUUUUUAUUUAAAAGGAUCAAAUAUUUCAAAAUUAAAAUUACGAAGCACAGAAGAGGUAAUUUUACCUAAUUAAAAAUUAAGAAGAUGACAAAGCAGGAGCACGUGUAAAAAGUGGGAUCAAAUAGCGAGUGAGAUUGAAAGUAAAAGAGAAAAAAAGAAGGUUAGUACGGUAAAGAAAGACAAAGACAGUGAGAAGAAGAAAGAUCUCGCGGGUUUUAUGAACCGGUGUGUCAUCUUCGUUGGGCUCGAGGUAAUAAACCCAACCAAUCUCUUUGUAGGGACAAAAAAAACCGAACCAUAUUAACCUCGACAUGUGAACCCUAGAAAAACCUAUUAUUUCCCUAUAAACCCCCUAUUCUACAUUUUUUUUUCCAACUUAGAUCUGUGCUGUAAUACAAUAUCACCACAGCUCUUCUACUUUUCUUCCCCCACUUUCUCUUCUAAACGCGUGUCUUACCACACUCUCACUAUCAGAUACAAGUUCGAGUCGAAUUUGAAUUUUCACGUGUUCCUAUUAAUAAUAUUGUCUUCAAAAGUCGAAGCUUGAGUUUAAAUAAUGAUCAAAUCGUCUAUUCUCAGUUUAAUUUGUUCAAGCAUCAAUUUUUUGUGGUUCACUUAAGGGCUAGUUCAAUAUUUUGUUCGAAUAAUUGAUUCGAUUCGAUCUGGUUUCAACGACACUAAUUUUUAUUAAGGUCACUGAAUUAUUUGAAUUAAAUAUUCCAAUGUUGGAAUUUGGGUCAAUUAAUAAUUAUUGAAUUGAAUUCGAUUUUUUUUUUAAAUUAAUAAAUAUAAAUCUUUUAUAUGAUAGGGGAGUUGUCUCUUUUGUGGAAGAAAGAGGGUGGUUGGGGUGUUGUUUGUUGUAGGGAAACUAUGCCCAUGACUAUGGAAAUUUAUAUAUGUAUAUAUAAUAAAUAUGAAGAAAUGAAGAAGAAUGGGUUUUUUACAUUAAUGAUACAGAAAAUAAUAAUAAUUAUGAAAAUGGAAUAGAUUACAAAUUAUUUAUGAGAAUAAAACAUUUUAAAUUGUAAAGGUCGAUGUCCCUAUUAUGUUAAGCGACAUCACUUAUAAAAAAUAAUAUUUUAAUAAAUAUAAAUAAAUAAAAUAAUAUUUUGAUUAUAAAAGGGUGCUGUAAAAAAGAGUAACCCUUUUUUAAAUGUCACCUUUAAUUUUUUUAAAGGUAUAAUAAGAUAUUUGGUCUUCAAAUUUUACAAAAAGAAUUAAUUUAGUCUUUUAUUUAAUUUUUUGUGUUUUUUAUCAAAUUAUUCUAAAAUUGAUGGAAAAAUUAACGUUUUUUUAACUUUGAAGACAUGACAUACAUAUAAAUUACAACUUGGAUGAAAUGUCAACGUUUAAUUAAUUUUUUAAAAUUUUAUAAAUAAAUUAUGCAUGUUAACCACGUGGCAAUCUAUGUGUAUGUUACAUCACUUAAGUUACCAAAUGUCAAUUUUUCUAUUUAUUUGGGGUGAUUUGACAAAAAUGUAAGUUUAAUGGUUAAAAAAGACGAAAAAUUAAAUAAAUGACUAAAAUAAUUUUUUUAAGUUGGAGGAUCAAAUAUGUUAUUAUGUAUUUAAAAAUAAAAAAUUACAAGUAACAAUAUCCUUUUUAUAAUUAAAAUAUUGUUUAGUAUUGUAUAUUUAUUUUUAUUAAAAUAUUUUUCUAUGGGUGACGCCACUUAAUACGAUAUCAAUUUAUACCUUACAAAAUAACUCAUUCUCGUAAAUAAUUUAAUUUCUAGUGUAAAUAAAUUUUUAAAAGAAACAAGAAGAAUGUAGCAAAUCCCUAGAAAAUGAAAAUGGAUGGACAUAAACAAAAUAUUCUUUUAUAUCUGGAUUCUGCAAUAUUUCUUACACAUUAAAGAAUAUUUAAAUACAAAUAUAUGAUAUAAAUAUGUCUUUUCUUUUUUUCAAAAUUUUAUAUAUUUGAAAUGAAAUCCUCGAAAUAACAUAGUCGUAAAAUUAUUUGUUGAAAAUAAUGGUCAGAAUUGAUGAAAUGACUUGAUUGAUAUAAUAUCGAUAUUUUAAUAAUUUAGUUUAGAAUUGUUGGAGCUGUAUAACUCAAAUUUAUGUUAAAUAAAUAAUACAGUGAUAAAAUUAGGGGGUUAAGGCUGAACAAGUGAAAUCUAUAUAGAAUUAUAUUUCUUCCAUUUGAUAUUAAUUAGAAUAAGGUAUUCCAACCGUACUAUACUGCUUUUAUUUGACAUUGAUUAGAAUAAAGUUUCAAUUUUUAAAUAGAUGUAGUCGAAACUUAUCUUGUAUUAUUUGAAUUCAACAUUUGUAAAUUUUCUUCUCCUCUACCCACGUAAAAAUGUCUGUGUGUGUUUUUUUACUUUAUUUUUUUUUUGUUUUGCGAUCAUUCUAUUGCCAUUAAUGACUUUAGUUUUAACAAUAAUCUUUUUAAAUUCGGAUAUAGUAAAAGUACAAUGGAAGCUUUUGUAUUAAGAGUUAAAUUGCAUUUUGUCCCUUCUACUCAAAAAAUAAACAAAUUAGCUUUUAUACAUUAAAUCAGAAAAUAAACUAGGCAUUAUGUUAAAAUUUACGUCUAUUUUUAAUAUUAAAAACUAAUCUUUAUACGACAACAUAAGGUACAUAUGAUAUGUCACGUGAAAUUGUCUAAUUAUUUCGUCAGCCACACUAAUUUUUAAUAGUAGAAAUGACGAAUUUUUAACAAAAAAGGGUUGAUGCACAUAAAUUAAUAUGUUCAUAUUUUAAGUAAAAUAGUCAAACCGCAAUCUAACUCUUAAAAUGUGAUAAAAUACUAUGUUAUAACCUUUAUUUAACUCUUAAAUAGAAUAAUAAACGAGCUUCAAUGUAUUUAAAUUUAUAUCGCCGAUACUAAUAAUAAUACUGAUAUCAAACAAAAUUGAUGAAAGAUGGGGGAUAAAGGGAUUUGAUUAAAAUUUUAAAUUUUAUUUCAAUGGAUUUGAUUUAUUGGAAACUGUUUAAUGGUCAACGGUGGAAAGAAGAUGGAACGUUUGAUGAGAUAUUUUGUUUGACAUUUUGGAAUUAAUGUGUGAUGUGAUUGCCCCAAUCAAACCAUACCAGCUGGACUCCAUCCAUCUUUUGAAAUAUCUUCUUUCUUUCAUGAAAUCACAAUGUUUAACACCUUGGCAUUUGAAGGAUUAUUUACAAACAUCAAAGAUACCCUAUCAGGGGUAUGUUUGAAUUUUUCUUUCUAAGGACUUAUAUUAAAUUUUAUAUAUUUAUAAGAGUUGAAAUACAAUUUUAUUGUUACGAUAUUUUUAUAGUUUUUUAAAUAAAUUAAAUUAAAAUUUUAUUAUAUUUCGAGAAGUUAAAUUGUAAUUUUAUGAUAUAUUAACUUAUAAUUUUACCGGUUUAGUAGAAUUUAAAGAACCAUUUUUUAUUUUAAGGAAGUUUUGUCUCUUCGUUAGAGGUUUUCAUGAGUUGAAUAACUUUGAGCUAAAUUUGAAUUUAUAUUUUUUUUAUCUCAUGUCGACUCAAUUUAAUCUGUUUUGUUAUUUAGAAAUAUAAUUUUUAACAGUCCCAUUAUCUAUUCUAAUAAUAUUUGACUCUUUUUAACACAAUACUUAAAGCUACUUAAAACCGCUCUUUAACUCAUAAACAGAAAGAUAAAGUGUUUCAGUACACUCGAACCCCCCAGUUAUUUGUGCGAAUUUGAAUGAAUCUAAGUUAAAAAAAAUUAAAAUCGAAUCUAACCCAGUUAAAGAAUCCUCUCGAUUUCAGAUAGGGUUCUGAUCAUAUCUGUUAUUUAAUCUCUCUCCAAUCUGUAAAUAUCUGUAAAUAGGAGGAUAAUGCGUUACAUUGUACUCAAACCCACAUCUUUUUACAUUGAUAACAAUAUCCAUACUAAUUUAACUAUGACUCAACCAGCCACUAAUUAUUAAUUUAAAUAUUAAUUAUACAAUUAUAUCAACCUCAUCAAUUUAAUUUAAUUUGGAAUCACUCAUCUAUGUUCAAGAAAUGGGUUUCCAUGUUUAAAUGUUUUGGUAUUAAUAAAGAUGUGGGUUGAUAAUGUCAUCAUCAAAUAUUUUUGGAAUUUCACUCUAUUUAUGUGUAGUCUAAUUGAAGAUGUGACAUUCUUUGAUGAAGAUUAAAUGAUUAAUUAGGGUGCUUUUGUUUAAUUAAUAUAAUAAUCAUGUGAUAAUUGGACAUAUGUUUUGAAUUAACUUAAUUAAAACAUGACACAAUGGGUUUGUAUUAAGUUAAUUAAGACAUGAUUUGACAUGUUUAAACUUCAGUGUGGAAAAAAUGAUUUCCUUAGGUUUUAUUAUGUGACCCACGUGCUCUUAAAGUUGAUGAAAUAAAUAGAUGGUGUUGAUUAAUUAACUAGCAAUAAUCUAAUUUAAAUCAUAAGCUCACCUAAUCUUAAGAAUAUAUUGAAAUUACGAAUCAUUAGGAUAGUAAUUACACCUCAUCAUAAUUACCACGUGUUUAAUUAAUAAAGUUUAUCGUGAUGAAUUAUAAAUAUGUAAUUUUUUCGAUCAUUAAACCCUCGUGAGAAUUUGAUUAAAUAAUUGGGAUACUACAAUUACAAUUAAUUCAAUGAGAUUUACUAAUUGUAAUAGAUACACAAACAUCGUCGAUUGAUGGUGGAUUUGGAUGGGAUGAAUUUACUUGCAGAUAGUAUAAAAACAAUAGUGGUAGUUAUAUUAGACAUUGUAAGAAUACUGUAGCGUGAGAAAAAAAUUAAAUUAAACGCGCUGCAUCCUACUGCCCAUCCAAACUCACCCUAAGUCUUAGUUUGAUUGGUAUGAGCAUUGUUGUCAGUAUGAGAGGGCGUGAAUUUGAGUGUGCUGAAACGCAUUAUCUUCUUAUCUAUAAGUUAAAAAAUGAUUAUGAAUAAUUUUAAGUAUUGUGUUAAAAAUAUUAAACCAAUAUAAUUUUAAUUAUUUGUUUGAAAAGGAUGGGUCCCCAACAAUAUUUUAGGGAGCAACAUAAAAGCUUAUCAUUUGAUUAAGCAAUUUCCAAGUCUUUCUUAAUUAUAAGCACACCCUCUCUCACCGACAAUUUAAUUCUCACCUGUAACUCAAAUCAAUGGCAUUCUUUUAGCAUGAGAUUUGCAAUCUCUUUGCAUCAUUACACAAAUGUUAUCCUAAUCUUAAGCAAGAAUUAAUACAAUCAUGUCAACUUUUUAACAAUCUUUUGCCAUUUUUUUUCUUUUAUUUUUUAAAUCUUCAAAUUAAAGAUACAAGCAUUCAUUUUUCCAUUUAAGUGUUUUCAUGUAACAAAUAAUUAUAUUUUGGGUGGGUUUAGAUAAGCGGUGGAGUAUGAUGCGGUGCGUUUAGUUUAUUUUUUAUCUCGCGCUACAGUAUCGUUACAAUAUUUAAUCUCAUCACCACAACUGUUUUUACACUAACCGCAGCUAAACGCACUGUCCAUUCAAACCUACCAUUAUGUUUUAAUCACAAAGUAAAAUAUCAACAUUGUAUCGAUUAAGUUAUUUUACUUGGAAUAAUAAAAUCUGAGCCACUCGAUAAAUUUUAAGUCGAUAUACCCUGAAUAGACUCGAUUUAAAAAUAAAAACACAUAAAGGUGGUGAGGUGAGUAGAUUCCUUUUAUUAUUAUCAUUGUGGAUAUGGAACGAUGAGUGUUCUUAAUUACCCUGCCUUACCCCACUUAAUAAAAAUACUACUUUACCCUUGUAUAUAAAGAUAUGCUAUAGAAAUAACUUUAAUUUUUUUCGUAAAAAAUAAUAAUGAUUUUCAAGAUUUCACAUCCACAAUAAAACAAGAAAGGUGACGAGGCAAAGUAUGUUUAAUAAUAUAGCAAUGAUAGAUUUUGCAACAUCUGCCUCCACUUCAUCUCCAUUAGCAUCUUCACUUUCAUCAACUUAGCUGUAUGCUUAGAUAUUGAAUAUAAAAUCAAACACGAUAUUAAGCAUAUUCAAAACACGUGAAUUAAAGUUUAACCAUUAUAGUUAAAUAGUUAAUCAGAUCUUAAUUCAAAUGAUAUUGUUGGCAAUAACACGUGUAUUUUUUUAUCUAAAAAUAGGAUUAUGGGUAAUUUUUUUUAAUUAAAGUUAUGGGUAGUUGUAUAUUUUAUAUAGAAAUAUAUAUUGUUGAGUAAUAUAAAAGAAUAGAUAGGAAAAAAUGAUUCCUUGUGGGUUGAAUGAUAAGACAUGAGCAAAUAAUAAAAUAAGUAGCAUUGGUGUAAUGCUUUUUCAAAUGGCUUAGAAAAGGAAAACACACUUAAAUGUGGAAGAGGCUUUAAAAAUAAGUGCUUUCACACACUGAGAGAGAGAGAGAGAGAGAGAGAGGGGGCGUGCUUUCAAAAAGAUAGACUUCGGCACACGGUGUGCCUACGUAGUGCGUAAAUUGGACGGUGUAAAACGCAUAAAUAUUUUAAAUUUUAUGUCACAACUUAUUUUUUAUUUUCGUAUUCGUUUUACUAUUUACGUUCUACUUUUAAUAAUAUUGUAUUUAAGUUCUGAAUUUAUGUUUUUUUAUCUAUUGUGAGUAGAGUGUGCUUUACUAUUAUGAAUGAUAAAAAAACCGGAAUUUGAUGAAUUUUGACUCAAUUCGAUAUUUUAGAAUCAUAUUUUUUUUAUUAAAUUUUGGAUUUGGGGAGUCGGGUCAGGUGAAAUUAAAAAAAAAGUCGGGAUGGGUCGAGACAAGAUUUAGGUAAAUCUGUCUUGUCUUGAAAUACUUACAAAAAUACUCUUGAUAUAUACAUAUAAUUAAGUUUUAAGUCUAAACUAAAAAAUAAUAAUAUUAUUUGCUUCAAAAUAAUAAUAAAAAAACUAAAUAAUUAAACUAAAUUUGGGUUAGUUUGAAGUUGAGUUAGAUUGAUCAAGCUUCAGGUUAGGAUUGAGGUUGGGUCGGCAAAAAUCUACCCCACCCCAUUGUCAUUCCUAUUUACCAAUAGAAUUGUGCAUGGGUUGGGCCGGGCCAAGUUCAAUUAAAAAUUUAGGCUCGUUUCCUAGGCCUAGGCUUGACCCAGCCCAACCAUAUUAAUUUUUAUAUAGUUUAAAAAUAUAUAUAAUACAUCAAAAAUACUAAAAAUAUCAAAAUAAAUAUUUCCCAACAAAUUGAAAAUAAAUUUAAAAAAAAAUGUAUACUUAAAUAACACUAAGAUAGAUGCAAUUUAACAAGUAAAUGCCUCUAAAAUAAUAAUAAAAUUAACAAUAAUAUAAGUUUUAUACAAUAUCCAAAUAAUAACAACAAAAUAAUAGUAAAAUUGUAACAAAAUAGGGAUAAAACAACAAGAAAAUAAUAUUAAAAAACAAAAAAGAGUUUUUUUUGUCAUUUAGUGAAUUCGGGCUGGGCUAAAAAUGCAUUAUCCGAGGCCAGACCAAUUUUUUAAACGGGCCUUAUUUUUUUGUCUAAGCCCAUUUUUCGGGCAUAUAUUUUUGCCUAACCCUCCCACAUUUCAGGCGGCCUUCAAGCCAGGCUAAAUGGUCCAACCUAUGAACAAGUCUAUUUAUCACUGCACUCAAUACUUGUAGAUGGUAAAGGUUAAUAUGUGGUGUAUCGAAAAUAAAACAUUUUAAUUUUGAAAAUAUUGUCAUAUUCUAUAUUUCACUAGAGGUAUGUUUCACUCUUUUGCUUGUAAUUCGAUUUAAGUGUAAUUGCUUGCAAUUACAUUGUGAUAGCAUGUUUGGGUAAUCAUUAUAAUUGAUAAGUCCUAUCAAAUUCUAAUUCUUAGGGAGAGGGUGAGAAUUGAAGUAAUUACUUAGAUAAUUACUCUAAAAUUUAAUUUUAAAAAAAUUAUUCUUAUAAAAGUUAAAAAAUAGAUCAUAAGCACGAGUACGUAUAAGUGUUUGGGAUGAUUGUGGUCAAAUAUAAAUCCUAAAAAAUUAUAUUAUAAAAAUAAAUUGUGUAUUUUAUAAAGAUAAAAAAAAAUUCUAAAGUUAGGGCUAGAAAGUUUAGUAUAAAAAUAAACAUUCUAAAGUUAUGACAAAAUAUUAUACUAUUUAUAAGUAAUGUUACGAAAGUUUUGGACAAUUUAUAAUUUGAUUAUAAAUUUUAUAUUAUUUUAAUUUAUUUUGCGUAUUAUAAAAAUGGAUAUAAACUGACAUAAGUCUUUCUCCAAAUUAAGUUUAUAUAAGUUUUUAUAAUUAAAACUAUACUUUAUUUGAAUCGUGAACUCAAAUAUUAUAAAUCUAAUGCUAAUUAUGUAAAUAUAAAAUGUUUUAUUGCACCAUAUCGUGGGGUAUGGUAUCAUUUAAGAGAAUGGUGCGAGACACAACCACCAUAGACAACUCACACUCUUUAAUUCGAGACAUUUGUUGUUCUAAAAAAAAUCUCUCAUAUUAAUAUCACUUUUAUAUAGCAUGAAAAAUAAAGUUGGAUCGUACUUGUAUUGUGUAUGUUUCAUAACUUCAAUCAUAGGUGGAAUUGAAAUGAUCUAUAUUUCGAAUAGCAUAGAAAAUCUUAUACCACACACAUAUUAUCAUACUUGUACUGUUAUGUUCACUCACUAUUUUCACAUAAUAUUGAUAAAAAGUCACGUUAUUUUAGUUAACGAAUUUAAUAGUUUUGAGUUAAAAUUAAAAUUUAAAAAGUCGAAAAGCAUAAAAACUUUGAAAAAAAUAAAUUCAAGAAUAAAGACUAAAUUCAACAUUUAUGUACAAAUAUUUUUGCAUCAAACCGAUGAUUGAACUAAUUAAACUAAUAAUUUAUCAGUUGGAUCGAAACCCAAUUUUAGUGUUUUAAAAAUAAUUUAUGAUAAUUUUUUUGUGUGGGUAAAAUAAUUUGUUGUUACUAGCAAAAUAGUUUUGGGUAGUUAAUGAGCGUGGAAUACACGCUCCAGUAGGUGAGAAGCAAAAGGCCACGGUCCCAAGCUCUAUGUUUUUUUUUUUUAGUUGAAAGAGAGUCUAACGCGCGACGGAAAGGACUGUGUGAGAAUAACGCAUGUAAAGGUUGUAUCGAAUCAAAUCUGUUGAUUAGAAAUUGAUUAAAAUAUCGAUUCGAAUAAAAAAUUUAAAUUGCUUGGAUUACAAAUUGAUAUAGUUUGGAUAAAAAUAGGUUGAAUUAAUGGUUGAACUGUUUUUAAUAUUUUUAUAAAAUUUUUAAUUAUUUAUUUAAUUAAACUAUUCACAUAUUAGUGACCUAAUUGGUUUAACCAUUAAUCCAAUUUUAAAAACCUUAUUUGAAUCAAAUUUUAAUUUCAGAAUUGUCAUUAUUAGGAGAACUUUACUUGAAUACCGCUUUCGACCCAAAGAAGACUAACCUUAAUAUACAAAAGGUACGAGGAUACGAACAAUUAAUUUGGUAUACAUUAUCAAUUAAUCGAAUGAUGACAAAUAGUAAAAUAAAUUAAAUCUUUUACUUUUAAUUAGAUCAAAUUAUUUGAUUCAUUGACGAUGCAUAAAAUUAUAUACUUAAUAUAAUAAAUAUCGACUCAUUUGAUAUAUUGAUAAUAAGAAAUUUGUUUUAAUACCAUUUCUUUUUUUGUCACUUAACUAUAAAAAAUUACAAAAUAAUCAAUUAAUUAUUCAAUUUUAUCUUUUUUAUCAUUUAAUUAUAUUAAAUUUUUGAAUAUUUUCCAUUUUUACGUGACUAAAAAUAAUAAUUGAAUGAUCAUUUUAUAAUUUUUUAUAAUUAUAUAAAAUAAGUAUAAUUAGGUGAUCUCCACUUCAAUUUAUCCAGUUACGAUACGUUUAACUUAUUUUUUACAGAUAAACUUACCUGUAUUAUAAUCUAAAAAAAAAUCAACUUAAAAUACAAAAAUGAUUGUUACUUGUAGAAAAACCCAAAGGAAGAAGAAAAGAAUUGAGAAGUGCAGAGUUGAAAAGAUGGCAUAAAAUGACAAAAACUAGAGAACAAAAACUCCUUCCUACUUUAUUUAUUUUUUCUCCUUCUUCUAUAGUAAGUAGUAGUGAUUAUUGGAGAGAGAGUCAGAGAAUCAAAAAAAAAAAAGAAAAGAAAAAAGAAAGCAAGAAAUAAUGAAAGAUAGUGAGAGUGAGUGAGAGAAAGAGAAAGAAAUAAGAUUGAAAAGAAACCCAAAUUCAUUUUCACUUUCUAUCAAAGGAAAAAAAGAAGAAGAGAAGAAGAAGACGAUGAUGGAGAAGAAGAGAGAUAACAGAAAAAGAAUAAUAGAGAUAAAGAACAUUAGAAAACAGGAAAAGGGUUGUUUAUAAUUGGCUUUAUAUAUAUGUGUGUUUAUAUAUACAUACAUACACUGAGCUUUUUUAGGUUUUUGUUUUGUUUUGUUUUGCUUUGCUUUGUUAUAUAUUGUAAGAUUGCAGCAGUUGCAGAAGAAGUAUCUGCAAAUUUUGCUGUUUUUCAUUCUCAAAAAUCUAAUCUUUGUGACAGUAUCUCUCAUCCAAACACACUCUUUCAGUACCAAGUUGAUUUGCUUGCAGAAGCUAAAGAUAUAAAUAUAUACAUAUAUGUAUGUGUGUAUAUGUGUGUGUAUAUAAACACUGCUUGCUGCACUAAUUGGAAAGGCACCCAACAAACAAGAUCUCUCUUUCUUUUCUCUCUUUCCAAAAACCCUUUCUUUUAUAUCUUCAGCUACAAAUUCAGAGAUUUUUUUGACCCCACUUUUCCUCUUCUUCUACCUUAUAUAACACCCACAUAGAUAUCUAUGUAUGUUUUAUGGUAAGAAUUUUUUUUCUUUUAUUACAAAGGAAGGAAUAUAUAUUUUUGUUAUUUUUUUGUUGUUGCCAUUGUGGCUACCACAAGAGGGCAGCUACCGUCAGAUACAGGAGGAGCCUUUGCAGAUUGGGCGACAUCAUCGUCCACAGCAAUUCGAGCUGGCCCCGAUGAUUUAUUAUCACUCGGUUUCAAUCCCAACGCCGCUUCUACGGAGGCGACUGCGGCGGCUCCGGCUCAAUGGCCUCCUUCUGCUCGUCCGAUCAACUAUGGACUUGCUGGUCCUGAGAUGGGGAUGGUUGGUCUACGGGACUUUGUCGUCGUUGCUCCUGCUGCUUCUUUUAACCAUCAUCAUCAUCACCAUCAUCAUCAUACUCAAGAUCCCAUCAUGGUGAAUGAACAAAUCAACGGUCCGAGUUCCGCCGCCGCCGCUGCCACCGCACUAGGUGUCGGUGUUAUCCCACUCCUAACAGCGUCUCCUUGUUUACCUCCACAAAAUGUGGAAGACACUGGUAAGUUCAGUGGGAUGCAACUAUGGCAGAACCAAAGUUCUUCGCAUUAUCUUAAAAAACCAGCUUCCCUCCUUGAUAAUAAUCCCUCCAUGAUGGCUGGUGACGGCGGUGGAAUGGGUGGAGGUAGCGGUGGUUCUGGUUCUAGUUCAGGGGCAACAUGUCAAGAUUGUGGGAAUCAAGCUAAAAAAGAUUGCACCCAUAGAAGGUGUAGAACAUGUUGUAAAAGUCGAGGCUUUGAUUGCCCUACUCACGUUAAAAGUACAUGGGUACCCGCUGCUCGGAGAAGAGAACGUCAGCUCAUGUCGGCCGCCGCUACAACCGCUGGAGCUGGCUCAUCGGGGUCUACUUCCGGUGCUAAAAAACCAAGGCUUGUAACCUCACAAACCACCACCACUUCACAUACAUCAACUUCAAAUACUACCCCUCCUCGAAGCUUUGAUACAAGCUCGAGCCACCAAGGUUUUGUUUAGUUCUUUAGUAUUAUUUUCGAUAUAAAUUUUUGAUAUAAAUCAACAAAAUUAUUCUUUUGUAGGGUUUCUAAAUACUUAUGUGGAUGCAUUGUGCAGAUGUUGGUUUUAAAGAGACAUUGCCAGGGCAAGUCCGUGCGCCUGCGGUGUUCAAAUGCGUACGAGUAACGGCAGUGGAGGGCGGUGAAGACGAGUACGCAUAUCAAGCCGUCGUUAAGAUCGGUGGACAUGUGUUCAAAGGGUUUCUUUAUGAUCAAGGAGUUGAAGGAAGAGAUGGAUUUCCAAAUAUAUCUGAAUUGCAUUUAGGUGGUGGUGGAAGAAAUGCUGGGUCUUCUUCAUCACCUGUUCUCGAUCCUUCAGACGUUUAUGCCGCUACUGGUGGUGGAUUUCUCGGUGGUGGUUUGGGUUAUGGUAAUCCAAUAAACUGAGUUUUGAAAAAAAAAAAACUCGUGAAGAUGAUGCAUUGUAGUCUAUUCUUCGUAAGAUUUUUGGUACAUUCUUGCUAUUGUAGAACUCUUGAAUCUCAUAUAUAUAUAUAUAUAGUGGUCUCAAAAAGGGUUAAUUUAUGUUCUUUUUAUCAAAUUCCGAAUUUCGAAUCGAAGAUAACAUAGGUAAGAAGAAGAAAUUAAUGUUUGUUCAUUGUAAUGUGCUUUUUUUAUCAUCAAAUUAUGACAUUGUGUUAAGUGUAUUUAUGUAACUAUUUAUGCUGGUUUUUUUUUUUCACUUGAUUCCGAUUGAUUCAGCUGGUAUAGUUUUGUUGUUCCGGUUUGUAAUGAAGCAUGAAGUAAAUGUGGAAUUUGUGAUUGUUGUCGUCGUCGUCGUCUCAAUGCUGCUGUUUUUUUGGACUUUUUAGUUUUGAGUAGUUGUUUUUUGUCCCCAUCAUUCAUUGAUAUAGAUCGAUGUCGCUAUCAGAAAUCUGUGGACAAAUCUGCAAUUUUGCAUGCAUUCAUGAAUUCUUCCUAGUAUGACAAAAUCAUCUCUACCAAUGUUUACACCCUCAGCCCGAUUCUUGUAUGUUAUGUUCUAUAGAUGCUGAAUCCCAAACCCAUUGCUCUACCAGUGUCCCGUGUGACAUUGAUUCAUGAACACAUCGGGUCUUUGCAUUUCUUUUGUAUGAGAAAAGUGUGCAAUAAUUUACUUGUUUGCAGGUUUUCUUCAAGAUGUUUUGCAGGUCACUUGUGAAAAUCGGGACUGUCGAUGUGGGAAUCGCGUUUGGCUUCUAACGAUAAGGUAUUCUGUAAGAUGCUGCAAAUUUAUCCGUAUUCUAUCAUCUUAUGCAUCAUUGUUGACUAAUGCGGAUCAAAAUAAAGCUGCAGGCAUGCUUCUAAGGGUACUUAAAUCAUCAUGUGAAUUGCUUUGUCAUUCUAUCUUUAUAUAUUUACUCGUAUUUAUGUAUCGUAUCUGUAUCAGGAAACUGAUUAAUGGCAUGUUUGAUCCGUUCUUACCGCUCAAAGUUGCAUUGCAUUGUCGAUUUUCCGGCUUUGCCUUGUAGAUGAUGAAGUUUUGAUGUUUGAUGAUCAAUAAGUUGUAAUCAUGCUUAAUAUUCUUUGGAGUCUAUUCCGGUUAGUAUAUUCGAUUGUCCCAUGCCGAAAGCAGCUAGAAAUGCUCGUUCGUUUGCUGUUUGUUUUCGUUUUCGUGCAGUGAUAAUAUCCGUAUCCGACAUUAUCGUGAUCCUGGCUGCGAAUUUUCUCGAGCUUCGAUAUAAUUUCAAACAAAAUCUCUGUAUGAACACUUCAUACAUGAUCAAAUGGUGUUUGGAAAUUUUUACUUCAACUAUGGAAAAAAUAAACAUGGUUGAUGUUUGUUUAGGGGUUAAUUUUGGAGAAUUUGAAUUUUAUUUUAUUUUAAUCUUUUGGUAUUCACUAGUUAGAUCGUGGAUCGGGUCUUAAUUAAAUUUAGAGUGGAUCUAGUAGUUUGGGUCACCGAUUAAUACCUUUAUAUUUUCUAUUUUGCAAAGGCAUGUACAAAAUUGUUUUGAUUUCAAUUAAAGAAAAAUAAAUAUAAAAUAUUGGGAAGUUGGAUAAAAAAUUAGAAUGUGUAGAAAAUUAUAAAUUUUUUUAUGUAAAAAUAGAAUGUUGGUAACGACAAUAUAUAAGAAAAAAUAGAAUAUAUAGAUGUUAUGUGAAAGGUUUUACGAGAAAAAAAUUAUGGGUAGAAGAAAAAAAAAUUUAUUAUGUUAAAAUUAAAUUAAUACAAUGAGUAUAGAUUGUGUAUUAUACAUUUAGAAAAUUUUAUUCUAAUUAAUAUAUUUAAUAGAAGUAGUAAGUUUGAAACAUUUUAUUUAAAUUAAUAUUAAACAGAGGAAAUAAAUAUUUGUACAGAUUUUUUUUGCGUAUCCUAUAUGCACUGCGGGGGUCUCCGGCCCUUGCACCUCCGGUUGCGACUUGUAUUUUAUUUUAAUAAAAAUUUGAGUCACAAUUUUAAACAUUUAAUGUGGUUGUAAUUUUGUCCUUUCAUGAUAACUUCAUUCUCGCUUAGAGUUAGAUACAAUUUUUUUCACUUUAUAAAUAGAAAGAUAAAGUGUUUUAUUUUAUAAAUAAAAAGAUAAUGCGUUUCAGCGCAUUCGAAUUCAUAUUUUUUUAAAUUAAUAAUAAUAUUUAUGUAAAUCGAAUUAAGAGUUAAAUAUUUUCUUAAAAAAUUAUAAUUUAAUUUCCCUCCUUACCCAAUAAUAAAAAAAAUCAUAGUGAAACUUUUGACAUAUAGGUCCAAAACUCUAUCGAUUGUAACCACAUAGGUCUAAAGCUACUAUAACACAAUCAAUCAUUUUCAUACUUCAAACAUAAUUAAAAAAUGCAUUAACUGAGGUAGGUUCUAUAUAAUUGAACACCACACAUUUACUAGCUACUACUAUAUCUAUACCUAUAUCUAUCUAUCUAUCUAUAUAUAUAUUCUACAUCUAUUAUAAUGAUCAAUUUUCAUGGCUAUUUCUCAAAUAAUUUCUCUUUUUUUACUUCAUCUUCUUCUUCCCUUAGCCUCCAUUUCCCUAUCACAAUCAAGCCACCAGCUGGUAAUAAACACAAUUUCAAUUUUCUCGUAUAUAUAUAUAUAUACUAUAUUAUGAAUUUGUCACCUUUGGGUUGUUUGAAAAUUGGUUGAGAAUAAUGAUCAUAGCCAUUGUUGUUGCAGAUAUGUGAAGUUGGAACUGGGAAUGGCGGUUCGAUCGGUGGAACUUCACCGUUACCGGCGUCGUUAUCAAAGCUAUUGAUUAAGGGAGGAACUGUGGUGAAUGCUCAUCGGCAGGAGAGAGCUGAUGUUUAUGUAGAGGAUGGUAUUAUUGUUGCUGUUAAGCCUAAUAUCAAGGUUAGUCCAUGUUUCAUUUCUUACAAUUUAGUCCUUUUAUUAUGCUAAAAAUUUGAGAUUUAAUCCUUAUACUUUAAUUUGGCUUAAUUUGGUUUUUGUAUUUUUAUAAUGAUAGUAAAUCAAAAUUAAUAACACUAUUAAUUGUUACACUGUUUUUUGUUUUACAUGUUAACGGAAUGCUCAAGGUUAUUUUUAAAAAUAUUCCACGUUACUUUAACAAUAGCAAUUACAAUUAACAAUGUUAUCAAAUCAGACGUAUUAAUAACACUACAAAAGUAGAUGGAUUAAAUUAUGACAAAUUAAAGUAGGAGAUUAAGUUCCAAAAUUCAGCAUUAUAGAGAGACUAAAACUAUAAUUUGUAUUAUUUGACUACUAACACUAAAUUAAGGAGUCCGAACUAUUGAAAUUGAACGAUAGUUGAAAAAUAAUUUUUAUGACAUUUUUGAUAUAGCAAGUGAUACACUUUGAACUUAUUUAAUUUUUUUAAUAGUAUAUGGAUUAAAUUGAUCCGUUUAAUAAUAGAGGGACGACUAGAGACCUCCCAAGUAUUUUAACCAAAUUUAAAUUUUAGUUUUUUUUUAUACAUAAUAUACAUUUUAAACAUGUUUUGGUAGGUUGGUGAUGAGGUUACGGUACUUGAUGCCACAGGAAGAUAUGUAAUGCCAGGUUAUAAUUUAUAAUUAUGAUUUAUACGAUUAUUUAAGUGUGUUCUAUAGUUUCAUAAAUGUACCGUGACAUCGAUAGGAGGUAUUGAUCCUCAUACGCACCUAGAUGCGGAGUUUAUGGGGACAGUGGCGGUCGAUGACUUCUUUAGUGGUCAGGCCGCUGCGCUAGCCGGUGGAACAACGAUGCAUAUCGACUUUGUCCACCCUGUUAAUGGUAGUUUAAUGUCCGGGUUCGAAGCUUAUGAAAAGAAAGCAAGCAAAUCUUGUAUGGAUUACGGUUUUCAUAUGGUGAUUCGACAUUGGGAUGAAUCUGUUUCGAAAGAAAUGGAAAUAAUGGUUAAGGAAAAGGGUAAGCUUUUCAAUUAAUGAUUGAAAUUUGUGUCAUUUGAUUUUCAACAUUAAUGAAUUCCACGUAAAAUUUGUGUUUUAUUUUUUCUUUUUUAAUUGUUUUCACGAUUGUUAUUAACAAUUUCGUAGGCAUAAACUCUUUCAAGUUUUUCAUGGCGUACAAGGGAACAUUCAUGGUCGACGACGCGGUUCUAUUACGAGGGAUGAAGAGGUGUAAGUCUUUAGGUGCAUUGGCUAUGGUUCAUGCCGAAAACGGCGAUGCUGUGUUCGAAGGGCAAAAAAGAAUGAUCGAGCGCGGUAUUACCGGUCCAGAAGGUCAUGCCCUUUCUAGACCUCCGAUGGUAGUGACUUAAAACGCAACCACAACUGCAAUUUAAACAUCCUUACACAUGCUUUCUUUUGGUUGAUAUAUUGUAAUUUCGAGGUAGCUAGAAGCCGAGGCAACCGGGAGGGCGAUUCGUUUGGCGAGUUUCGUGAACACGCCGCUAUAUGUCGUUCAUGUGAUGAGCAUUGAUGCUAUGGAAGAAAUAGCUAAAGCUCGAAAAACAGGUUUUUAUUUCACUUUUAAUAUUUUAUCGAACGAGUCUCGGAUACAAAUAUGUAUCUGAAACGAGCCCCAUUUUUUUUUUCUUUUUCGUUUUUACAGGGCAAAAGGUUAUAGGAGAGCCUGUGGUUUCUGGAUUGGUCCUUGAUGAUUCUAAGCUCUGGGACCCUGAUUUCAUAACUGCAGCAAAGCAAGUCCCUUUCCUAAUUAUUUUAGUAUUUCGAGUUGUUACAUUAGAAUGGUGAUUACAAUCAAGUGAAAUUUUAUCAUGUACUAAUUUAUUCCAGGAUUUCAGGUAUGUUAUGAGUCCACCUAUCAGAGAAUCCGGACAUAACAAGGCUUUACAGGCUGCCCUUUCAACUGGAGUUUUGCAGGUAUGUUAAUUUUUUUCAACUAUUUAUUUUUCUUUUUCCUACACAUAUUUAUACUUGAAAUAUACUCGUAUUAAACACAUAUCGGUGUUUGCACUACUGGAAGCUUGUAGGAACUGAUCAUUGUACCUUUAAUUCUUCACAAAAAGCUUUCGGCAUCGACGAUUUUCGAAAAAUUCCGAAUGGUGUCAAUGGUAAAAUGCAAAAAAGGUUUUUGUAUUUUAAUUUCCUUCGUAUUUCGGAAUGGUUGUUAUUGUGCUCUUUUCGUGAUUGUUUGUUGUGGUAUAACUCUAUAUCAAUGGGGGCGAAUUUAAGGGUAUGAGCCGUGCACAACAGCUUUUUAGUUUCAGUGUCUUAGAGAAUUAUAUAUGAGAUUCUUCGUUUUUAAGGAUUUAGGUUGAUUGAAACAAAUUUAAAGUGAAUUCAAUGCCUAAAGCCACACUGUUUGCGAGGCUAAAGUCUAGUUUAGUGACAAUUUCUCCACCCAACAAAUGUAAAAUUGAAAUUCUUUUACUGUAUCAAAAAUGAUAAACUUAUAAAUUAAUAAAUGAUAAAAUUAUAUUUGACUUAUAAAAAAUCUAUAAUUCAAUUAUGAUCCCGUAAAAGAAUUUUUAUAUUCGCCCUUGCUUAUAAACACCUCUAUUCUUCAUUCAGAAUUAUGAUUGAUUCACUCUAUACUUACCAAACUUUUACUCUUCUUAUUGGAAUUAGGGAUUGAGGAGAGGAUGCACCUUGUUUGGGAUACAAUGGUGGUGAGCUAUAAUCCAAACUUUAAGUUAUUAUACGUACAUACAUACAAAUAUUAAGGGGAGUCGACUCAUUUUGAAGAAAUCUUCAAAGUGUCGUUCGCUAGUUAGUUGAUCAGUCCUCUAACAGUAUAAGGUAUUGUCUCUUAGGAAAUUGUCUCCCUUGCUCUAUACCACUUGGGUUACGGGUAGUCAAGGCACUCCGAGCUUUGUGAAGCAGACCCUUAGGGGAGUUGCUCACGACAUGCUAGCUCUUAGCAAAGCACGGGAGACAACCCUCGUCGACAAUACCUUCGAUUGUUGAGGACUGGUCAACUGCCUAAUAAACGACAUUUCGAGCACUCCUCCAGAAAGAUCCACCCCCCUCAACACACACACUCUCGGCCUAUGUACGGUGAGGAGCUCUCGGCUUUGUGAACCAGGCCAUCAUGACAAUUGCUCACAGUAUGUUAGCUCUCAACAGAGCACGGGAGACAAUACCUUAAACUGUUGGGAGACCAGUUGAUUGCCUAAUGAACGACACUUUGAAGAUUUUUCUGGAAAAAGUUGAACCCCCAACAUACAUACACACAUGCAAGCAAGCGUGUACACACAUGUAGUCUGUUCUCACCUCGAGCAUUUUUACAGGAAUCAGGCCAAAUUUCUGUCACUGAUUUUGUCCGGAUAACAAGUACUGAAUGGUAAUGAUUUUUCAUCUUCGAACAAUUUCCCUUCAUAGACAACCUUUGUGUCUAUUUGUUGUCAUGUUUCAAUAACUUGCAGUGCUAGGAUCUUCAACAUCUAUCCAAGAAAAGGAGCAAUUCUUGUUGGAUCCGAUGCAGAUAUCAUUAUAUUUAACCCUAAUUCGAGCUUCGAAAUAAAUCCAAGAUCUCAUCAUUCGAGAACCAAUACGAAUGUAUACGAAGGUAGAAAAGGAAAGGUAUAAUUUUCAUUUUUAUACCCUUAUUAGCCAGAUUACAAGCGUUUUAAACACUAAUAUUUCGAGAUAAUUAUAAGGGAUAAUAUAAAUAUUGGCCCCUAACCUGACAACUAGGUUUAUUUUGGUACUUGUACAUUUUUUUUAUACACUUUGGUAUUUUAACUUGAAAAUAUUAAAAUUUAAUGAUAUGACAUUCUGAGAUUAUGUCACAUAAUUACUUAAAAAUUAAAAAAAAUUAUAUAUAUUUUUAAGUAUUGAUGUGGUACAAUCUUAAAAUGUCACAUACAAUAUUCUAAAAACUAAAUUAGUGAUUGAACUAGUUUGAUCAAUGAUUUUCAAUUCAAUUGAUUUGAUCGGUUCAAUUAGUAAACCAACAAUAAAUAGUUAAAUAAUUAAAAUUUUAUAAAAAAUAAAAAAUGAAACCGGUUUAACCUGUUCAACUAUUAGUUUUUGUCUCAAAUUUUUUAUUAGUUUUGAGCAUUUUUUAAUUCAAUCAGUUCAACCUCUUUGUUUGGACCAAUAUAUCUAUUGGUUCUCGAACGAUCUAAUCAAUCUGACUGACCAGUCCAAUCAUGUUUCAAGAAUACUGGUCAUAUCAUUAAAUCUUGAUGAAAUCUAAAUUCAAGGAUCAAAAUAGAUCUAGCUACUAAGUUUAUGUACCAAAAUGAACCAAAAAAAUAGUAUAUGUACCAAAGUGGACUUGUUUGCCAAGUUCAAAGGUCAAAAAUUAUAUUAUUACUAAAUAUAAAUUUGGGUUUGGAAUUUUUCAGGGAAAAGUUGAGGUAACAAUUUCUAGAGGAAGAAUUGUUUGGAAAGAUGAUGAAUUGAAAGUUGCACCUGGUUCCGGGAAGUAUAUACCAAUGCCUCCUUUCGGUUUUCUUUUCGACGGAAUCGAAAAAAUCGAUGCUAAGCUUGUUUCUUCCUUCAAAGCUCCGGUACAUAGGUUUAAAUCCGAUGUUUAAACUCGAUUAGGCUCUCAAUUUUUCAUAUUUGACUUCGAACUCGAGUAUAUAUAUGUAUUGAAAUUAUAAAAAAAAAUUCGAUUACAUUCGCGAGCUACUCGAGAUAUUUGCUCCCUACAAUCCAAUUGCACAUGCAAAUAAUGAUAUUUACAUGGCAAUUCAAUAAAAAAAAAAACAAACCCUUUUUGAUUUGUUUGUUCCCCAACAGAUGAAGGCCAAUUAAUUUAGCAAUCCCAGAAAUUUAGUUGUCUUGUCGUGCCAAAUCAAUGUCUGAAAUUUGGAGAAUUUCAUUGCCAAAAGCAGCAAAGAACGAAAGCAAAUAUCUUCUUUCUCUUCUGCAUUGUAAUAGAUAUCAAUUUAGAUAUUCGAAUUCGGCUCGAAAAAAAAAAUUAUAUGCAGUUGAAUUUGAGUAGUUUGAGUUUCGAAUUUACGGAGACAAACAACCUUAUGUUUUUUUUGGUAAGGUUGUUGUUGAUGUGGUAAUGAAACAGUGAUGAAAUCGUCGUCGUUUCCUAAGCUACGCCAAUCACCACUCAUUUGUCGUUUCUGGUUGGCUCGAGCUUUCAAGAACACCGUUGAGUAGUCCAUCGAUCCGGUAGAUUUCCGAUCACACCCUCUGAAUUCGGGGGCGGGCAUCCACGCAUAGUUCUGUUGGUUUCGAAAAUAGUCAAAUGUCAUUAGAUUUUUGAGCUCAUUUUUUACUAGAUAAACGGGUAGUAACCAAAUGACUUAAAUAGCGAUAAUCGAGAUCUUACGGUGACUGCAGAAUCUUGGUCGUUAUUGUCGGCUUGUUGGUGAGGCUGCGGCGGUUGAGGUGAUGAAUCGGCUGUAAAAUCGCGGUGGUUUCCGAGACUACGCAAAACAUCAGAUUUUUGUUGCUUCCUGUUGGCUCGAGCUUGUGAGAAAACCAUGGAGUAGUUUGUAGCACCAGGAGGUUGUUUGUCCCAGCCACCAAAUUCGGGAACCGACAUCCACUUCUUGUUCUGUCCAUUUUAGAAUAACUUACAAACAUUAUUAAGGGUUUAAGUAAUUUUGGAUUUUGUUCAUUUCGAGUUUUAGGUCGAUUUGGGUUUGAAUUUCAUCCACUAAAAAAAAUAUUAAAUUUAUUUUUAUAUGUUAAAUCAAAAAGUAAAUUAAUUAUUUCUGUUAAAAAUUUUAUUCAUUUGUACUAUUAAAAUCUAACGAGAUUGAUAAAAAAAUCAGACUGUGAUAUGUGGUAUGCCACAUGUACCUCAUUAUGAUGUACAUAAACUAGUUUUUAACGUAAAAGCGGAUAGAAGGACCAAUUUGCUCUUUGAUUUAACGAACAUUGACUAAUUUACUCAUUUUAUGAGUAGAGAGUGUAAAAUAUAAUCCGACUCUUAGGACAAGGGCUUCCAUCGUACUUUUACCGUCGAAUCAAUUUGGUUUUUAUAAUUUUGGGGUUAAUUUUAAGUUUACCUCAUUUUUAUUAGUUGUCAUUUUGGAUUUGGGUUUUUAGGUUUAAGGUCCAAGUUUUUCUAGUCACAUUAUUACGAGUUCAAGAAAUUUUGGAUUUUGUUUAUUUUAGGUUCGGGUCAUUUUGAGUUUGAAUUGUUUCAGGUUUAGGUCACUUUGGAUUUGGAUUAGUUCAAAUUUGGGUUGUGCCAAUUUUGGUUGUUGACUGUUUAUAAUCAAAAUGGGUUGAGUUGGAUUUGAGUUAGGACUAACCAAAUUGAGUUUUUGAAUUUGGGUAAAAUUUGACAUAUUUAUGUUAAUUCAUUCAUAUAUACAUGUAAAUAUAAUUUUGUUGCUAUACCAAAUCGAACUUAAGUUGGGCUUCGAGAAGCGGUUUUUUAUUAGGGGUGGAGAUAAAAUUAUAAAAUCUAGAGCUGAAAGUUAAAAAUAUUGUAUUAAAUGACUGUUGUAGCUAUAUAAAUGGACCAUGGAUGAUUUAGGAUGAAAAUUGAAAUCUUACCAUCCCGGGAUCAUCGUUGUCUUGCCAACGGGGUGACGACGCAGCGAUGAAAUCCUUCUCGUUUCCUAGGCUACGACUAACAUCUUUCUUCUGUUGCUUCUUGUUGGCCCGAGCUUGCAAUUCCGAAUUAAACUAUACAAAUGAACAUUCUCACACACGUGAAUACAUGUAUAUAUGUAAAUUAAUUGAGUUUUUUUUAUUAGGUAAACGAGUUUAGUUGAGCAUAAUCAAAUGACUGAAUAAUUUCGCUUUUAUCUCAAAUCGAGCUUAAUAUUAAAUUUUAAGACGAUUAUUUGGUUAGAUCCCUAAGAAAAUAACAUGAUAAAUUAGUGGAUGAUUUAGGAUGGAAAAUGAAAAUCUUACCGCGACAAAAUCAUUGUGGUCUUGUCGUUGAAGCGGUUGAGGAAGUAAUGAAGCAGCGAUGAAAUCUUGCUCGUUUCCUAGGCUUUGUGUCUUUUGUUGCUUAUCAUUGACCUGAUACCGAGCCGAAUUUAAGUAUUUUAAUGUUAGUCUCAAAUGAUUAUUAAGCAUAAUCGAGUUUUUAAAUAUAUUUAAAUAUUUUAAAUUAAUAUUGAAAAAAAUAAUCUGAACUUGAAAACAAAUAAUCAACUAGUAUUAAAUUAAUUGAUGAUUUAGGAUGGAAAAUGAAAAUCUUACGGUGACAAAAUCUUCAUGGUCUCGUCGUCGAGGAUGACGAGGAGGUAAUGAAGCAGCGACCAAAUCUUGCUCAUUUCCAAGGCUUUUCGUCUUUUGUUGCUUCCCCUUGGCCUAAUAUUGAGUCGAAUUUAAUUAUCUUAAUGUCUGACUCAAAUAAUUAUUAAGCUUAAUCGAGUUUUUUUAAUAUAUUUUAUUUUUAAUUAAUACUGAAAAAAAUAAUUCAUACUUGAGUACAAAUAAUUUAACUUGAAGUUAAUCAUAAAAUUAGGUUAAAAUUUAUAAUUAGUCCCAAUAUUUUACUCAUCAAUUUGUGAAUUUAGUCCUUGUACUUCGUUGGUUUAUAAAUUGAAAGACCCUAACCUAAAUUUUUCUUUCCCCUUUUCACAAGGACUAAAUAUGUAAUUUGAACAAAAUAUGGGGAUUAAUUAUACAAAAUUGACCUAAAAAUUAAAAUUGUAUUUGACCCUGAUUAAAUAAGCUAAAAUCAAUUGAAUUCAUACCAACUUUUGAGCAAAGAACAUAUCAUCAAAGCAUGAACUAGAAGUGUUGAUAUGUAGGUGAACUGAUAGAUGAAAAUGCAAAGAAAAAAAUCUUACAAAGACAGAAUCUUGGGUGUCUUGUUGUAAUGAAUCCGCAGUUAAAUCGAGUUCGUUUCCGAGACUACGCCAAACAUCAGCCUUUCGUUUCUUUCUGUUGAGUCGAGCUUGUGAAAACUCCAUGGAAUAGUUGGUAGAUCCUGGCGGGUUACGUUCCCACCCUCCGAACUCCGGAAUUGUUAUCCAUUCAUUCUUCUGCCGGUUUCGAAACGAACUCGGAAAUUAGGGAUCAAAAUUAAAAUUUAAAAUUUUGGAAGGAUCUAAAUGCAAUUUGGCCAACCUUUUUAGCUAACAGUAACUAUAGUUAAGAAGAGCAAGAGGGGAUUUCGUCCCCUCAAAAUUUUUGGAAAUGGUUAUUAAACCUUUCAAAAUUUUACUUAAGCUAACAAAAAUAUUGGGAAAUUCCAAUUAAACCUUAUAAAGGUUUUGAAAAUUUUAAUCAAAUCCUUUAAUUUUUUUAAAAAUUCUCAUUAAAAUUUUCAGAAAAUUUUUAAAAAAUUAGUUAAACCCCCUUUUUUUUAAAAAAAAUUCUCAUUAAACUCUAAAUAUUUUUAAAAAAAAUUAAUUAGACCCCAAAACUUAAUGUCAUGUUCUGCCAUCGGAAACACCCUUAAAAUUCGAUUAAUGAAUAGGUUAAAAUUCUUAAAAACUAGAGCUGUGUUAUCAAAUUGUCAAUUAAAAAACACCAUUUUUUUAGAAAAAUUAAACAAUUAUUGAUUAAUUAUAAAAAUUGCAGAAAAAAUAAAUUAAAACGAAAAAAAAAAGAAAGAUAUAAAGGUUUAUUACCUCUAUUAGGUUGGACAUGGAUUGUAGGAGCAAGGAUUAAAAUUACCAAAGAUGAUAAUUAAUUAACCAAGGAAUUGAAGGUUUGAAACCCAGUUAAAUUAAAAAUAAAUUAGAACAAUUUUCAGUUAUAAAUUGAUGGUAAUUAAACAAUAUAAUUAUCUGUGGAGGGGAUGCCUAAAUUAACUUACUGUUUUUACUAACAAAACCAAUAAAAAAAUUAAUUUAUUAACUCUUAAUACCAUUAAGAAUAUAAAUCUAUUGUUGUAUUUUUGGCUAUUGUUUGAAAAAAAAAUGAAAAUUGUGGGUAUUUUUAGAUUUGUUCAAAAAUUAGUUUAUGUUAGAGUUGUGUGACCUAAAUUCAUGUUAAAGAACUAAUAUAAUGGUAAAAUUAGGAGAUGUAUGGAGGGUUUAAGGCUAAUGGCCAAAACUCCUCUAUUUUUUACUUUGAUUAGAAUAAGGUUUUUCAACCUUUAAACUUUAAAGAGAUGUAGUCGAAAUUUCUCUUGUAUUAUUCGAUUCCCAACAUUAGUGAAUUUCUUCUUAUUUGCCCAUGACUUUUUUCCCCCAAAGGGCUUCUACAUAAAAUUUGUGUGUUUUAUUUUUUUUGACAGGAAAAACAAGAAUUUCAUUGACUGCAACCCUAUAAAUAAGAGGAGAAAACAAGCGAGAUGUAACACCCUAAAAUUUUUUAUUUUGAAAGUGUAAAAUUAUGUUAAGUAAUUUGUAUUAGUUUAGUGACUAAGUGUUAGUUAUGUGUGUUUGAGGUCCUGUGAUUAAAUAUCUUCCGUUGAUUUUUUAUUAAUUUUGUUCCAAUAUUUGAUUUUGAAUAUCUAGCUUAUCUAUUAUUUUUUAAUCUCUCUCCCUAUACCUUGCUUCUCUUUCUUUUCAUGUUAGUUUCCUUGUUACUGCCAAAAUUCUUCCUAUUGUUCUUUUUCAAAAUUUCCAUUCAAUUACUACAAAAAUUUCCUCCCUCUUCUGCAGUGAUUUUCUAUUUUGGUUUAAUCCCUCUUCCUUGCUCAUCUUUGUUGCCGCCAUUUUGACUUGGAGUUGUCCUUUGUCAUCGAGCCAUUCCGUUUUUGCUUCAACCCAUUGUAAGUUUCCUCUAUUUAUUUUCCUUAAGUGUUAUUAUGCGAAGUAUGUGGGUUGAUUGUGGGAUUUCGGUUUAACUAAUUUUGGAUCUGUUUAGGUGAAAAUCUUGAGACGAACUUUCCUCCGACGUUUAGUGAGCCUUAAGAGCUGUUGUUCUAUUGGGUAAGUAAUUGAAUGCCUCAAAGAGGCUAGUUCUUGGUGUUAAGGUCGAAUGUUUAAUGCUUGUGGCCAAAUUAUGAUUGGAUUUUGGGGUAUUGAUGCUAAUUAUUUCUGUCGAAACCAUUUUAUUUCGAUUUAAAAAAAGGUGAAUUGACUUUUUGGAAAGCGAAAAAAAUGGAGUCGCCACCGACCUUUUUUUGAGGUGUAAUCGGAUCACCUUGAAGUUGAUCAUUUUAAUAAAACAUUUGAUUUAUUAAAACAAUAAAUUUUAGGUCUACGAAAAUUGAGAGAAAGGUUCGGGAGUCGGUUACGCACGAGGAAGGGUUAGCACCCCCGUAACGCCCAAAAUUGGUACCAAACCGAUUAAAUAACUGUCCUUGUGUCUAAGAUUUAAAAUGUUUUUGAAAUGAGGUUCCUUUUUUAUUACAUUUGAAUAAAAUCUUCUUGUUUCAGAGGAAUACAGCACCACAUCCAGCACAGUAGGAUGCAAUCCUUCAUACCCUCGAAACGCGAUAGAUUUCGACUUCCAAAAAUUCAUAAUUUGGAAAUUACAAAAGGAUGUUCAACUAUUUAGUCCAACGAAAAAUCGAAACCCAGCACAGUAGGGCAUGAUUCCUUGAAUUUCCAAACGUUGAACAUUGCCUCGCUUUAGAAAACACGAAUGAAAUUCCAAAGGGAUAUUCGAUUAUUUUGCGCAAACGAGAAGUUGCAACCCAGCACGAUAGGGCACGAUUCCCCGAAUUGCCAAACAUCGAACAUUUCCUUUGUUUUAAAAAGUUUUUAGAAAACAUGAACGAAAUUCUAAAGAUACAUUCGAUUAUUUUGGGAAAACGAGAAAUUGCAACCCAGCACGAUAGGGCACGAUUCCCCGAAUUGCUAAAUAUCGAACAUCAUCUCCGUUUUAAAGAAUUUUUAAACAAAUAAUUAUAAAACCGGCUUGAAAUACACUAAUUUAGCUUGAAAUAAAAGGGAAUAAUUAGUUUUAAAGAAUUAGAAGUUAUAAAGUGACAUUUGUAAAUCGGUAAUAAAAACGGGAUAAUAUACAUGAACAUAAUAGAUGCAUUAAUAUAAAAUAAAAUAAAAGUCGAGAAUAACAAAAUUAGCAAACACGCGAAAUAAUCACAGAUCAAAAAUAACAAAAAGUAAAGUAAAAACUUAAGUAAAUGAUAUAUACGUAAAUAAAUAAAUAACACAAACAAUGAUAAAAAAUAAUAAUAAUACUAAUAAUAAUGCAAUGAUAGUAAGAAAGAAAAAAAAAAGGUGAUAACAAUAAUAUGUCAAAUAAUAAAAAUUAAUAAUAAUAAUAAAUAUAGUGAUGAUAAUAGUAGAAUAUACAAUAUAUAGUAUUAGAGGUAAAAUACAUAAUACAUACAUAUUAAAAGUAAUCAUAAUAAAAAACUAUUAAUAACUAUAUAAAUAGAUAUAUAGUAGUUGCAUAUACAUGGUAUUGUUUUAAAAAAAAAACAUAAGAUAGUAUGAGAAAUAAAAAUGUAUAAAUGAUAUAGUAUUAAGGUAUAUGCAUAACAAUAAAAAUACAAUAUUAACAUAUAUAUACACGUAACAUAAAAAAUGUAUCCGUAUUAAAAAAAAUAUACAUAAUAAGAAUGCAAUUUUUGAAAUAUUUACAUAGUAUAAACGUGCUAAAAAAAUAAUAAAAAAGGAUAUUAAUGAUUUUACAUAGAUAUAUACAUAUAUAUUAAAAUGAACAAAUGAUAAUACUCAAAGCAUGUACACAAUAUAUAUAAUAUAUGAAAUAUAUAUAUAUAAUAUUUAUAAAAAUAUAUAUAUGGUAUAAUAUUAAUAUGUAUUCAUAAUAUGGGGUAUGAUGUAAUAUUUAAAUGUGUAUACAUAAAAUAUAUAUUAGGAAUAAUAAUAAUAAUAAAGACAACUAUAUGAAUAUAUAUAAAAUAUAUAAGUAUUAAUUAAAACUAAAAUGUCUAAAUAAUAAUAAAAUAUGUUAACAACAAUAAUACGAAAGUAGUAAAUAGAAUAAUAAAAAAAAUAAAAAUGGUAAAAAAAUAAUGCAGAAACCAUAUUAAAUCUAAAAGGACUAAAUUCGAAACAAAUAGGAAGUUUUGGGGCCAAUUAAAAAGAGAUAUGACAAAAGGGACCCAGAUGAAUGCGCGAGUGACCAAGGAGGACUGAAAUGGAAAUAAACCCACUCGUCCAAAACGCAUCAUUUGAUUAGGGACCCAGAUGAAACGACAACGAAAUUCCAGGGGUGAAAUUAAAAACAAAUCAAAAGGAAUGGGACCACAUCAAAACCGGCUUCAAAAGUGGAGGGACUGAGGGCGCAAAUAGACCCUCAGUCCAAAAACACGCAGAUCCUAGGCGAUUUUCGGGUCGGAGUCUGUGUCAGGUGUUAAACGGCGCCAUUUUAGUCAUUAAGUGUUUGCCCCAAAACGACGCCGUACGGAGAAGCUAUAAAAGCAAAAUUUUUUUGAAAAAAAUUCAUUUCCUCCGAGUUCAGAAAAAAAUGAGAGAGAGAGAUUGUUUUUCUCUCUGGGCAAAUCCCAGAAUCGGCCAAAAGGGGCCGGCAAAUCUCGCCGUUGCUCCGCCGUGCAUGGUGGCUGGAAAUCGCCAAAGGUAAAAUUUUUUACUCUUUUUUUAUUUUUUAGAUCUAAUAUAUAUGUGUUUAUUGUUUUAGCAGAUUAAGAUUGGAAUAUGUAUAAACAGAUGCGGAAGAGACAAAUGAAAAGAAAGAUGAAAAAGAAAAAAAAGAAACCUUUGCUUCUGUCCUUUUUCUUAUUUGCAAUUUGAGUGACUAUUUUUGAAGUCUCUUGAUGAUAUUUCUCUUUGUGUUUUAAUGAAAAACUACCCCCAAAAAAAAACCUCCUCACAAUCUCCUUCCUUCGGCUUUUAUAAAGCCAUUACAUACAUUUUUCUAUCAUUUUUAUUAUUGUUUGCGUGUCUAUCUUGCAGGAGUAGUUGCAGCGGUGCUGAGUAGGUGUUGGCAGACGUCGGUGGUGGAUGGGACAAGGGCAGACCUAGGUGCAGCGCACCUAGGGUUUCUUUGACUGAUUUUUUGAAGAAAAAUGUGGGCUUGGUGGGCUAGGGUUUGAGUUUAUUGGGUCUGUUUUUGGGUGUUGGGUAAAUGGGUUUUUUGGGUUUGUGGGCUUUGGGGUUAUAUUGGGCCCGGGCAAGGAUUGGGUUGUACAAUUUCAUUUUGAAUGCUGGUUUUAGGGUUUGGAAGUGUGCCGUAUCAUUGUUUUCCAGAAAUGUUAGGUGUGUAACAAUAUUCUUGAAAAAUCAAUGGAUGACGCGAAGCAAAAAAACUCACUGUCGACGCCACAUGGUCGUGUGCCAGACUGUGUAAGCCACACGACAGUGUUCUUAACCAUGUGCCAAGCCAUGUGGACUCAUUUUCAGUAAAAUUUAGUUAGGGUCGUAUUUGAAUGCGUUUCGAGGUUAGCUACUUCGCAGGGUCUGUAGUGUGAUAUGUAUGACUGGUAUAUGAAAUCUACUGUACUGAUAUUUUAUGUGUAACAUCUGAAAGCAUGUCAGUAAUUAAUUCAGCAUUUGAUCUGUAAAUUUGGGAAAUCUAAAUAGGUAUGAUUCAUUUGUGUGCAUCUGAGUAUGUAUUAUGUUUCAGUAUGUGCAUUGGGGUUGGAUAAUUAUGUGACGAAGGAAGUGUUGGCUCUAAUGGCCUAAAUUCAAGGUUAUCGGAACAAUGGUUUCGUAACCAUAGAUCCGAUUUAAAGAGAAAUUUAUUUCAAUAUUUUUGCUUGAAAAUUGAUAUGAUAGGAAAAUCGUAUGAAAAUAUUGAUAGAAAAAUUUUACCAAUUUAGUGAUUAGAUAGAAAAAGAAAUUAUUGAAGAAAUUGGGUAAAAACGGGGAAUUGAGACCUCUAUCUCGUAAAACCGAGUAAAAAUAAUUUUAUAAAUAUUUAUGAAAUGUUAUUAAUGUGGUAUUAAAAUUUCGUUAGGAAAUUUUAAUGUUUGGGUAGUCAAUUAAAUGAAAAGGACUAAAUUGUAAUAGGUGUAAAAGUUGCUAGAGUGAUUAAAUAGCUUAAGAGUCUAAUGAGAAAGGAUUUAAAAGGCAAUUAGACCCAAAAGUUAUUUGGGCUGGACGGAAAGGGUAUGAAAUCAGCAGAAAAAUUGAUAAAUUAAGGGUAAAAUUAGAAUAUUGCAAAAUUAACUAAAUAAAGCUAGGACUAAAUAGGAAAUAUCUAGAUUUCUCUUCAUUUCUCUUCAAUUCCAGCAGCUAAAAACGCCAUAGGAGGGUUCUCUAAGCUGAUAUUUCAUAAUUUUUGCACCAAGUGAGUUAAUCCUUGCCUUUUUCUUGUAAUUUUUGUGUUUCUAAGACUUUUACAACUAGGUCCUACUAUUGAAUUCAUUAGUUUUUGAUUUCAUGGAUGAAAUUGAAAGUCACCAUGGUUGAGUUCUGUAAUUUUAUGAUGAAAUAGAAUUAAAUUAAAGCUUUAAUUUGUUUAUGAGAUGAUUUUAUUAGGUAAUUUCAAUAGAAAUUGAUUUUUAAGACCUAAUUGUGAAAAUGCUUGGAAUUAAAGUCUAUUGCUGAAAUUCUGAUUCCUAAAGGUUGUAAACUAGUUUAAGGUGAUAGAAUAAAAUGUUAAUUGAGAAAAAUCAGCUCAAUUGAGAGGCUAAUUGAGUAGGGACGAAAUUAUCAUUUAUUAAAAGCUUAAGGGAAAAAUGGUAAUAAACAGCUUGCACAAAAACAGUUUGGACAGCAGCAGUAGACUAACUUUGAAAAAUCACCAUAAAUUUUAGAAAUCGAAUUAGAAGAUGAAAAAAAUAUGGAAUUAAAGCUUAUUGAGUCUAGUUUCUCAUAGAAGAAUAGUGUAAGCAAUGGAUGUGUAAAUUUUGAGAUAUAAUGAAUUUUGUGAGACAAGGUCAGAAUGAAUUCGGGUUCCCCUGUUCUGACUUUGAAAAAUCAUAAAAAAAUUUAAGAAAAACAAUUAUGGGCUUAAAUUUAUAUGUUUAGAAUCUUUAAUGAGUCUAUUUUUAAUAGAAACAAACGAGAACAUUAUUUGAAUUCUGUAUGAAGAGAUAAUUAAUUUUUAGUGAAGAAGGGUUAGAACUGUCGACAGCAGAACAGGGGUGACUUUAAAGAAUAAAAUGUACUUAUUGGAUAAACUAAAAAUUCUGAAAAUUUUAUGGUAAAAAUAUAUAUGAGUCUAGUUUCAGGGAAAAUUAACGGAUCUUAAUUUGGAGUCCCGUAACUCAAGUUAUAAAUAAUUUAGUGACUAUGACUCAAGUAGACAGCUUUGAAUGAACUAUAAAUAAUAGUUGAAUUAUAGAGAAUGUUGCAUAUGAACAUGAAAUGUAUUAAAUUGAUAAUUAAAUUUAUUUAUUUAGAUCCGGAAGAUUCAAAUACGAAACUAGAUCGAGGAAAGGAAAAAGUUCGGGAUUAGUAGAUUUUUAUUGUUUACAAACAAGUAUCGAGGUAAGUUCAUGUAACUUGAAUUAUAUUCUUAAAUGCUUGAAAUGCAUGUUUUUGAUGUGAAUAUGAUUUGAAUGUUCAUUAUAUGGAAAUUUAUGAAACAUUGAUAUAUUUGAUAAAAUGGGAAGAAAUCACGUUUGAAUGAAAGGAAAAUUCGAUGGAUCUCUGAAAAGGAAUUGACGGUAAAAAGGAUCUAGCCCGGACGGGUGAUCCUAUCCUGAUAUCGCCAUCCCGAAGAAUAUGUGUAAAAUGGAUUUAGCCCGGACGGGUAAUCCGAAUUAGGGUCUGAAUUUAGCCUGAACUGGUAAUUUAGAUCCAAGCUCAUUAGAGUAAUUGUCGUUGCAGAGGAUUUAGCCUGGACUGGUAAUCCCGCUGCAAGGUUGAGGUUCGCGGGAGUGUGCUCUCUGAAAUGGAUAUGUGCGCACAUGAAUAUGAAUUGACGGACCCGGAAUUGUACAAUAAAUGUGUACCUCUGAAAAUCCAUCGAAAUUCCGAUAAAUUCAACGGGAUAAAUAUGGAAAAAUAACAAGGAAAUGGAAAUCAUGGUAUUGACGAGCUCAUCAAUCAUGGUAUAUAUAUUAUUGAUACAUGGAAAUUAUUGUACUAACUUGAAUGUUGAGUUUGUGCAUGUUAGGGUAAUAAUGCAUUGAAUGGAUAUAUGAAUGUUUAUUAUAUUGUAUUGAAAAUAGUAGGUAAGUAUAAUUCUUGUUACAUGAGCUUACUAAGCACAAAGUACUUACCCCGUUUCCUUUUUCCCUGUUUUGUAGUGUUAAGAGCUCGGAGGUCGGAUUUGGUCGGAGACACAUCACACAGUCAACCUCAAGAUUUCGGUAUAUAAAGAAACUUUAUUUUGGAAAUCAAUGGCAUGUAUAAGCUAACAAAGUAAAUGUUAACGUCAAAUGAAUGUAAAGUUAGCCAUUAGUAUGGUUAACAAACCUGGUUUUAGAUAUGUGAUGACGUUAUCUUAUAAAUAUGCAUGAAUUUAUCUUGAAAAUAUGUUGAAUUGAUUUGGUUGAUGUGGAUUGGUCUCGAUUUAAUAUUGUAAGGAAGGUUAGAUAUUUAUAAAGGGGCUAUAUUAAAUAUAAAAAAAAAUUAAUUCGUAAACUCCGGUAAUUCCUCGUACCCUAUUCUGGCAAUGAAUACGAGUAGGGGUAUUACAUUUAUUGAUAUCAGAGCUACGGUUUAGCCGGUUCUAGGACCGAUGUAGCAAAUACGGGAUUAGCUAUACAUGCCAUUUAAAUUAUUAUUGAUAGUGUGAUAUCUCCUGACCAUUUAAAAUGUGUUUUUCUUAUAGUAAUAUCAUCCGACCGAGCUCAAUCUGAGGAAGCUAGGAGUCAUGCUCCGGCUUCAGUACAAAGAGAAGAAACUAGAAGUAGAAGACCCGAGACAAAGGGUCGAGGGGAGGAGGCAAAAACAGCCUUCUUUCAAAUGAUGAAUGAAUGGUUUAAUCAAUACUUAAGAACUAACCCUGUAGUGCAGCAAGUUCAAGCUCCCCCUCAUGCUCCUCCAUCGGUUCCCGAGAUCCCACAAGGUACAGGUACUGAAUCUGUCAGAAAAGGGAAAGCUCUAGUAGAUAAAAUUCGAAAAUAUGGGGCCGAAGAAUUUCGAGCAGCAGUUGAUGAUGAUUCCGAAUGGGCUGAAUUCUGGUUUGAAAACACUAGUCGGGUUCUGGAGGAAUUAUCUUGUACACCAGAAGAAUGUCUGAAAUGUUCCGUCUCACUGCUAAAAGACACAGCUUACCAUUGGUGGAAUACUAAACCUUCAGUUGUUCUGAAAGAAGAAAUUACAUGGGAAUUCUUUCAGACCGAGUUCAGAAAAAAAUUUAUCAGCCAGAGGUUUCUCGAUCAAAAAAGAAAAGAAUUUCUUGAGUUGAAACAGGGUAACAGAUCAGUAUCUGAAUAUGAAAGAGAAUUUGUUCGAUUGAGUAAAUAUGCUCGAGAAUGGGUACAGUCAGAAGCUGAAAUGUGCAAACGAUUCGAAGAAGGGUUAAAUAAAGACAUUAAACUACUGAUCGGAAUUCUUGAAAUUCGAGAGUUUGCUAUAUUGGCAGAGAGAGCUUAUAAAGUAGAAGAAUUGAGCAAAGAAAAGAAACAUGCUGAGAGGGAAACUCGAAUUUUUAGUAAAAGACCGAUGGGAAAAUCCCAGUUUUCUACUUCAAAGAAAUUGAAGAAGUAUCAGGAUCGUUCUACUUCAGCCAUUGGGUAUUUGGGCAAAUAGCGAGGUUCUUAACGCACUAAUCCAAGGCCUUCUACUCCAUCAGUGACCAGUGUUGGCAGUGUUGGCACUCCUAAACCGAGAUGCCAGUACUGUAAUAAAGCUCAUUUUCGUGAAUGUCGAUUAAAGAGCGGGGCUUGUUACCGAUGUGGUUUUUUUGACCAUUUCCUCAGAGAUUGUCCAGAAAGGGGUGAAAAAGAAGCUGAACAGAUAUCGAAGCUGAGUAAUCCAGUUUCGAGAGGUAGACCACCUCAACCAUCCGGUAAUGUCAGUGGUAGUCGAGGAGCUACAAAAGAUACUGCAGGUAGGCCUGAGGCACGAGCACUUGCUAGGACAUAUGCCAUUCGUGCCAGAGAAGAUGCCUAAACACCCGAUGUUAUUACUGGUACAUUUUCUUUACUUGAUACUGAUAUUACUGCAUUGAUUGAUCCUGGUUCUACGCAUUUAUAUAUAUGUGUUAAACUUGCAAUUAUUAAAAAUUUAUCUGUUGAACCUACUGAAUUUGUGGUUAAAAUCUCGAACCCCCUGGGCUAGUUUGUGUUGGUGGAUAAAAUUUGUAAAAAUUGUCCAAUAAUGGUAAGAGGUUAUUGUUUCUCGGCUGAUUUGAUGUUACUGCCAUUUGAUGAAUUUGACGUGAUAUUGGGCAUGGAUUGGUUAACCCAGCAUGAUGCGGUAAUAAAUUGUAGACAAAAAUAUAUUGUGCUAAAAUGUCAGAAUGGUGAGUUGUUCCGGGUUAAAUCUGAUCAGACAAAGGGGUUAUCUGAUAUGAUUUCGGUAAUGGCAGCACAGAGGUAUGUCAAAAAAGGGUAUGAUGCUUAUUUGGCUCAUGUACUUGACACCAAAGUAUCUGAGUAAAAAAUACAGGCAGUUCCAGUGGUAUGUGAAUUUUCUGAUGUGUUUCUGUAAUGGCCCAAAUUUGAGGUUAUUGGAACAGUGGUUUCGGGACCACAAAUCCGAUGAGAAAAAUUUUAUUUUUCUUAUAUUUUUAUGGUAUACAAUUUCACAAAAUGAUUUAGUGAAAAUUUCGUUCGAAAAUUUCGACGUUUGGGCACUCAAUUUAGUCAAAAGGACUAAAUUGUAAAAAGUGCAAAAGUUGAGUUCUACAUGUUAGAGGUGUCCAAUUGUUAUGAAACUUUAAAUUGGCGGUCCUUAUAUGGUAAUUAUACCAUUGGUAACUUGGUAGACAAAAAUGGACAUGAGAUAAGUGAAAUAGAAAAUUUUUAAGUUAGGGGCAAUUUGGUAAUCUAGUAAUUAAAAUGAAUUAAAAGGGAAAAAGAUGGCAAAAAUCAUCAUCUUCUUCAUUAGGACGAAAUCAGCAAGGGGGGAAGCCAUAGUUAGGGUUUUCAAGCUUCCAAGCUCCAUAGUAAGUGAUCCCAAGUCCCGUUUUUAAUGUUUUUUACGUUUUUGGAGUCCCGGUAGCUUAAUUUAGCUUAUUCUAGCAAUAAUUUAACCUAGGGUUUAUAUUUGGAAAAAUACCCAUAGGUGAAAAGUGUUUAUUUUGAUGUUUUAUGAUAGAAUAUGAAGCUAGAAAUUAUGUUAAACAACUUUUGCUAAGCGAUUUUAAGUGAAAACGAGUAAAACGACAUAAUCGGUAAAAAUACCUAAUGUUCAUAAGUACAUGUUAGAGUGGGAAUUUGAUGUUGCCAUAGAAGGGAAAAAUGUUCAGAAUGUUAUAAAACAUAAGAAUAAGAGAUGAAGUUUAAUUUCCGAGCCUUGGGGCAAAAAUGUAAUUAUGUAAAAGUUUAGGGGCAAAAUUGUAAUUUUGAAAAAGUUAGAGUCGAGGGCUGUUUUGAUGAAUGUGAUUAUUAAAUAAGUUAAAUUUACUAUUUUAGAUCAAGAAGUACGAAACUCGAGGUUAGACAAAGGGAAGAAUAAAGUUGAAGACUAAGUUGGUGAAUUUGGCUAUAAUUGGUACCGAGGUAAGUUUACGGUAAAUAAAUGCAAUAUUUCAAUAUUUAUUAUCAAUGCUGUUAUUUUCCAGCAACUAUGAAUUUAUUUUAUGAAUUUAUUUGAUGAUGAUCUAAGCAUGAAAUGAUAGAGAAUUAAAAUUAAAAAGUCCCGUUGAUACAUAAGGAUGGUACUGGAUACGAAUGUCAUGACAUUUGGGUAAAGAGGUCCCAUGUAAGACCAUGUCUGGGAUAUGGCAUUGGCACCGAGAUGAGAGGUCCCAUGUAAGACCAUGUCUGGGACAUGGCAUUGGCACCGAGAUGAGAGGUCCCAUGUAAGACCAUGUCUGGGACAUGGCGUUGGCACCGAGAUGAGAGGUCCCCUAUAAGACCAUGUCUGGGACAUGGAAUGGGCACCAACAUGAGAACAUCCCAUGUAAGACCAUGUCUGGGACAUGGCUUUGGCAUGUUAUUAUCAGAAGAGACCCGAGUAUCCUUAUUAUUCCAAUGUAGCUCAACGGGCUUGUAAAUGAAUCAUGUUCAUGAAAGUUCAGUUUAAAGCAUAAAUGGCAAGCUCAGGUAAGUUGUGAGACUUAAGAACUUAUUAUACUAUCAAUUGAUGUUCAACGAUGCAGCAAGGAUUGAGUAAGUUAUGCACACAAGUAUUCUAAGUAAACAAGUAAGAGAACUAGUAUGAGAUUAACUAAAGAGUAAACUAGAGAUAUAGACAUUGAGUUUAAUUAUUUAAGUUAAAUAUUGUUAUUUAUUUGCUAGUAAACUUACUAAGCUUUAUGCUUACUUCUUUUAUUUCUCUUUCUCUUAUAGUAUUGCAAAGCUACUUCAAGGAUCCUAAAGAAGUCGGAGAUCGUCCACACUAUCAACUACAACUGCUCGGUAUUUUAUAUCGAAACACGUUUGAGUUAUGGCAUGUAUAGGGAUUUAGUUAUUUUGUAUGUUUGUAAUGAUGAUUUUGCUAAUGAGUGAUGUGUAAGUAUUUGAUGAUGUAUGGUCAUUAAAAUGGUUAAGGAUGAAGGUGUUUGUUGUUAUGAAAGAUUAGGUGAUAAAUUAUGCAUGGAAAUCAUGAAAGGAUUAAAUUUUGCAAAGAAACAGAAUUCAGGCAGCACAGUGACGUGAAUUUGAAAAAUCACCCAAGAUAGUAUAAAAUGAAUUAGAGGGUUAAUGAUAUAUGGAAUUAAAUCUUGUUGAGUCUAUUUUCAUGGAAAAAUAACGGUGUAGAAAAAGGAAAUUUAUAUUUUAAGAUAUGUGAAUUUUAGUAAGAUAGGGUCAGAACUGUUUUUGGAGUCCCCUGUUCUGAGUUUAGAAAAUAAUUACAAAUUGUAAAAAAAUGGUUAUGAGUUGAAAUUUACAUGCUUAGAUUCCUUAAUGAGUCUAUUUUCUGUAGAAACAAGUAAGAACUUCAUAUGAAAAUCUUACAGUGAGAAAACUUAUUUUUAGUAACAAGAGGUCAGAAUAGUCAAAUGGUGAAACAGGGGAGACUUUAACUAAUAAAAUGUACUAAUUGGCUAAACCAAAAAUUCUAAAAAUUUUAUGGUGAGUAGAUAUAUGAGUCUAGUUUCAGCGAAAAUUUACGGAAUUAAAUUUAGAGUUCUGUAUCUCAAGUUAUAAUUAAUUUAGCAACUGCUGCGCGAUUGGACAGAUUUGCUGUAAAUAGUGAAAUAAAUUUUCAAACCUAGUUUUUAUGCUCCGAAUUGGUAAGAUAAGCUAAGUAAUGCCUCGUGCUCGACUCCGGAAACGGUCUCGGGUAAGGGGUGUUACAUUUUGUUGGUAUCAGAGCAGGUUUAGUCGGUUCUUGGAAAUACUCGGUAUGAAUAAGUGUCUACGUAUACAUGCCAUACUUAUAUAUUUUGAUAGUGUGACGACUCCUGACGAUUUUAAAAUGUUUUCUUUUAUCGUUAUGGAUCCUGAACGAGCUAGUACAGAUGAAGUAGAAAGUAAUGCGCUUGCUUCCGCAGAAGGGACGACGCCACUAGAUGUUAAUGUUAGUGAAAGGCCUGCAUCAGUUAGACAGGGAGGAGGAGCUAGAGAAGCCUUCUUCCAAGCCAUGAAUGAUUGGUUUGCCGAGUUCGUUCGUACGAAUCCGGCUGUAAGACCUCCACCCCCUCAAGAUUCACAGGUUCCCCAUGUAGCUUCCCCAGCUGCAGGUAUAUUUAUCACGGAGAGACCACCUGUUGAUAAGAUUAGGAAGCAAGGGGCUGAAGAAUUUCGGGCUACCAAAGAUGACGAUGCAGAAAAAGCAGAAUUCUGGCUUGAGAAUACCAUCAGGGUUUUUGAAGAAUUAUCUUGUACACCGGAAGAAUGUAUGAAGUGUGUGGUCUCACUUCUCAGAGAUUCCGCUUAUCAUUGGUGGAAGACUCUCGUGUCUAUCGUACCGAGUGAGAGGGUUACUUGGGAUUUCUUUCAGGAGGAGUUUCGAAGGAAGUACAUCAGCCAAAGAUUUAUAGAUCAGAAAAGGAAGGAGUUUCUUGAGCUAAAACAAGGUAAGAUGUCCGUGACUGAAUAUGAACGCGAAUUUGUCAGACUUAGUAAGUAUGCUCGGGAAUUUGUAUCCACCGAAGCCAACAUGUGCAAGAGAUUUGAAGAUGGGCUUAAUGAUGACAUCCGACUAUCAGUGGGUGUAUUGGAAAUCAGAGAGUUUGUUGUUUUGGUAGAAAGAGCUUGUAAAGUAGAAGACUUGUUAAAAGAAAAAGAGAAGAGCAAAGCUGAAGCUGGAGCGCAGGAUACAAAGAAGAGGCAAAUGAGUAAAUCAUUUCAGUCUACAUCUAAGAGGCCUAGGGAGCUCUCUAGCGGAUCACAUUUUCCACAUAUAUAUUCUGGCCGAAGCAGAAGUAGAAGAUUCGAGGGUUUUAGAGCUCAAACCACUACAGUUGCAAGUACAGGCAGUACUCGACCUCCUAGGCCUGAAUGUUCUCAAUGUGGGAGACGCCACCCCGGAGAGUGUAGAGCAGGUGAAAAUGUUUGUUUUAGAUGUGGAGCAUCCGAUCACUUUAUUCGGGAUUGUCCUGAAACAACUAAAAGAGAAGAAAUAACGAGUGCGAGAUCAGGUAAUGCUCCUACCAGAGAUAGACCGCAGAGAAACCCAGGAGUGGGGGCGAGUAAUAGGGGUGCAUCCAGAGAUUCAGCGGUUAGAUCAGAUGUUAGAGCACCUGCAAGAUCAUAUGCUAUUCGAGCUCGUGAAGAGGCGUUCUCUCCUGAUGUAAUUGCGGGUACAUUUUCUCUCUAUGAUACUACUGUUAUUGCAUUAAUUGAUCCUGGCUCUACACAUUCAUAUAUAUGCACAAAAUUAGCAUUUGUUAAAAAUUUGUCUGUUGAACCUACUGAAUUUAUAGUUAAAGUCUCGAACCCCCUGGGCCAGUUUGUGAUAGUGGAUAAAGUUUGUAAAAAUUGUCCACUGAUGGUAAAAGGUAUUUGUUUCCCGGUUGACUUGAUGUUAUUGCCUUUUGAUGAGUUUGAUGUGAUAUUGGGCAUGGAUUGGUUAACUCAGCAUGAUGCAGUAGUAAACUGUAGACAAAAAUAUGUUGUGUUGAAAUGCCAGAAUGGAGAAUUACUUUGGGUUAAAUCUAAUCAGACAGAGGGAUUAUCCGAUACGAUUUCAGUUAUGACAGCUCAGAGGUGUGUUAGAAAAGGGUAUGAUGUUUAUUUGGCGUAUGUGUUGGAUACUAAAGUAUCUGAGUUAAAGAUACAGGCAGUGCCAGUUGUAUGUGAAUUUUCUGAUGUGUUUCCAGAGGAAUUACCAGGGUUGCCACCAGAAAGAGAAGUGGAAUUUUCUAUAGAUUUGAUUCCGGGAACUGCCCCAAUUUCCAUAGCUCCGUAUCGUAUGGCUCCUACAGAAUUAAAAGAGUUAAAGGCACAGUUACAGGAACUUGUUGAUAGAGGUUUUGUUCGUCCGAGUCAUUCACCUUGGGGUGCUCCAGUUCUGUUUGUGAAAAAGAAAGACGGGUCUUUGAGAUUGUGUAUUGACUAUCGGCAGCUUAAUAAGGUGCCACAGUAUUUUCAAAGAUUGAUCUCCGAUCGGGUUAUUAUCAGUUACGGGUAAAAGAGCCAGAUGUGCCAAAGACAGCUUUCAGAACCAGGUAUGGGCAUUAUGAGUUUCUGGUUAUGCCGUUUGGGUUGACUAAUGCACCUGCAGUAUUCAUGGAUUUGAUGAACCGGAUAUUCAGACCGUAUCUAGAUAGGUUUGUAGUAGUUUUUAUUGAUGACAUUUUAGUUUAUUCUCGGGAUGAAACUGAGCAUGCAGAACAUUUGAAAAUAGUGUUGCAAAUUCUGCGUGAAAAGAAACUUUAUGCUAAAUUCAGUAAAUGUGAAUUUUGGCUUCGAGAGGUAGGUUUUCUCGGACAUAUUGUAUCCGCAGAAGGCAUCAGGGUAGAUCCGAGUGAAAUUUCAGCUAUUGUCAAUUGGAGUCCACCGAAGAAUGUAUCUGAAGUUAGAAGUUUCUUGGGUUUAGCUGGUUAUUAUCGGAGAUUUGUACAAGGGUUUUCUAUGAUAGCUUCUCCAAUGACCCGUUUAUUACAGAAAGAUGUUAAAUUUGAAUGGACAGAAAAAUGCCAACAAAGUUUCGACCGAUUGAAGGAGUUGUUGACGAAAGCACUUGUGUUGGUACAGCCUGAAUCGGGUAAGGAAUUUAUUAUUUAUAGUGAUGCAUCAUUAAAUGGUUUGGGUUGUGUCUUGAUGCAAGAAGAUAAAGUAAUAGCCUAUGCUUCAAGACAACUUAAGCCACAUGAAAGAAACUACCCGGUACAUGAUCUCGAGUUAGCUGCUAUUGUAUUUGCAUUGAAAAUAUGGCGGCAUUAUUUGUAUGGUGAAAAGUGUCAUAUUUAUACUGAUCACAAAAGCUUGAAAUAUUUGAUGACACAGAAAGAUUUGAAUUUGAGACAACGCAGGUGGCUUGAAUUGAUAAAGGAUUAUGAUUUGGUUAUUGAUUACUAUCCGGGUAAGGCUAACGUGGUAGCUGAUGCUUUGAGCCGAAAAUCUCUAUUUGUUUUACGAGCUAUGAAUACCCGGUUGUCACUGUCUAAUGAUGGUUCAAUCAUAGCUGAAUUGAGAGCUAAAUCGACAUUUCGUCAACAAAUAUGUGAAGCUCAGAGGAAUGAUGAUAAAUUACAGGCUAAACGGGUGCAUUGUGAGUCAGGUAAUGAUUCAGAAUUUCAGAUUGGAACUGAUGGUUGUUUAUUAUUCAGAGGCAGAGUAUGUGUACCGAAGAAUUCAGAACUUGUACAGAAGAUUUUACACGAAGCACACAGUGGUAUUAUGUCCGUACAUCCGGGAGGUAAUAAAAUGUAUAAUGACUUGAAAAAGAUGUAUUGGUGGCCGGGUAUGAAACGUGAUAUCUCUGAGUUUGUAUCAAGAUGUUUGGUAUGUCAACAGGUUAAAGCUGAACAUCAGGUACCUUCGGGGUUGCUUCAGCCAAUUACUAUACCAGAAUGGAAAUGGGAAAGAAUUACUAUGGAUUUUGUGUCCGGAUUACCAUUGUCUCCGAAGAAGAAAGAUGCCAUUUGGGUGAUCGUUGAUCGAUUAACAAAAUCAGCACAUUUUAUCCCGGUACGUAUGGAUUAUUCUCUAGAUAAAUUAGCUGAACUGUAUAUAUCUGAGAUUGUUAGACUACAUGGAGUGCCUGUCUCCAUUAUAUCAGAUAGAGACCCCCGAUUUACGUCUCGUUUCUGGAACAAAUUGCAAGAAGCUUUGGGUACUCAGUUGCAUUUCAGUACUGCAUUUCAUCCUCAGACAGAUGGCUAAUCUGAGCGUGUAAUUCAGGUAUUGGAAGAUAUGCUCCGAUGUUGUGUAUUAGAAUUUCAAGGUAAUUGGGAAAGGUAUCUACCUUUAAUUGAAUUUGCUUAUAAUAACAGUUAUCAGUCCAGUAUUAAAAUGGCUCCGUAUGAAGCUUUGUAUGGUAGAAAAUGUAGAACACCAUUAUAUUGGACAGAGCUCAGUGAAAAGAAGACACACGGGGUUGAUUUGAUCCGGGAAACAGAAGAAAAAGUAAGGCUGAUUCGAGAUAGUUUAAAAGCAGCUUCCGAUCGUCAGAAGUCAUACGCCGACCUUAAACGAAGGGAGAUUGAAUUUCAGGUGGGUGAUAAAGUAUUCUUAAAAGUGUCUCCUUGGAAGAAAGUUCUCCGGUUCGGUCGAAAGGGUAAAUUGAGUCCAAGAUUUAUCGGACCAUAUGAGAUUAUAGAAAGAAUUGGACCAGUUGCUUACCGAUUGGCUUUACCACCGGAACUCGACAAAAUUCAUAAUGUAUUUCAUGUAUCUAUGCUACGACGUAUCGAUCAGAUCCUUCACAUGUUAUUACUCCAACAGAAGUAGAAAUUUAGCCGGAUAUGACUUAUAAUGAAGAACCGGUUAAAGUAUUAGUACGAGAAACAAAGGAGCUUAGAAACAAAAAAGUAAAUCUGGUGAAAGUGCUAUGGCAAAAGCACGGGAUUGAGGAAGCAACAUGGGAACCGGAAGAGACAAUGAGGAAGCAAUACCCGAAUCUCUUUACUGGUAAGAUUUUCGAGGACGAAAAUCCUAAAAAGGGGGGAGAGUUGUAAUGGCCCAAAUUUGAGGUUAUCGGAACAGUGGUUUCGGGACCACAAAUCCGAUGAGAAAAAUUUUAUUUUUCUUAUAUUUUUAUGGUCUACAAUUUCACAAAAUGAUUUAGUGAAAAUUUCGUUCGAAAAUUUCGACGUUUGGGCACUCAAUUUAGUCAAAAGGACUAAAUUGUAAAAAGUGCAAAAGUUGAGUUCUACAUGUUAGAGGUGUCCAAUUGUUAUGAAACUUUAAAUUGGAGGUCCUUAUAUGGUAAUUAUACCAUUGGUAACUUGGUAGACAAAAAUGGACAUGAGAUAAGUGAAAUAGAAAAUUUUUAAGUUAGGGGCAAUUUGGUAAUCUAGUAAUUAAAAUGAAUUAAAAGGGAAAAAGAUGGCAAAAAUCAUCAUCUUCUUCAUUAGGAUGAAAUCAGCAAGGGGGGAAGCCAUAGUUAGGGUUUUCAAGCUUCCAAGCUCCAUAGUAAGUGAUCCCAAGUCCCGUUUUUAAUGUUUUUUACGUUUUUGGAGUCCCGGUAGCUUAAUUUAGCUUAUUCUAGCAAUAAUUUAACCUAGGGUUUAUAUUUGGAAAAAUACCCAUAGGUGAAAAGUGUUUAUUUUGAUGUUUUAUGAUAUAAUAUGAAGCUAGAAAUUAUGUUAAACAACUUUUGCUAAGCGAUUUUAAGUGAAAACGAGUAAAACGACAUAAUCGGUAAAAAUACCUAAUGUUCAUAAGUACAUGUUAGAGUGGGAAUUUGAUGUUGCCAUAGAAGGGAAAAAUGUUCAGAAUGUUAUAAAACAUAAUAAUAAGAGAUGAAGUUUAAUUUCCGAGCCUUGGGGCAAAAAUGUAAUUAUGUAAAAGUUUAGGGGCAAAAUUGUAAUUUUGAAAAAGUUAGAGUCGAGGGCUGUUUUGAUUAAUGUGAUUAUUAAAUAAGUUAAAUUUACUAUUUUAGAUCAAGAAGUAAGAAACUCGAGGUUAGACAAAGGGAAGAAUAAAGUUGAAGACUAAGUUGGUGAAUUUGGCUAUAAUUGGUACCGAGGUAAGUUUACGGUAAAUAAAUGCAAUAUUUCAAUAUUUAUUAUCAAUGCUGUUAUUUUCCAGCAACUAUGAAUUUAUUUUAUGAAUUUAUUUGAUGAUGAUCUAAGCAUGAAAUGAUAGAGAAUUAAAAUUAAAAAGUCCCGUUGAUACAUAAGGAUGGUACUGGAUACGAAUGUCAUGACAUUUGGGUAAAGAGGUCCCAUGUAAGACCAUGUCUGGGACAUGGCAUUGGCACCGAGAUGAGAGGUCCCAUGUAAGACCAUGUCUGGGACAUGGCAUUGGCACCGAGAUGAGAGGUCCCAUGUAAGACCAUGUCUGGGACAUGGCAUGGGCACCAACAUGAGAACAUCCCAUGUAAGACCAUGUCUGGGACAUGGCUUUGGCAUGUUAUUAUCAGAAGAGACCCGAGUAUCCUUAUUAUUCCAAUGUAGCUCAACGGGCUUGUAAAUGAAUCAUGUUCAUGAAAGUUCAGUUUAAAGCAUAAAUGGCAAGCUCAGGUAAGUUGUGAGACUUAAGAACUUAUUAUACUAUCAAUUGAUGUUCAACGAUGCAGCAAGGAUUGAGUAAGUUAUGCACACAAGUAUUCUAAGUAAACAAGUAAGAGAACUAGUAUGAGAUUAACUAAAGAGUAAACUAGAGAUAUAGACAUUGAGUUUAAUUAUUUAAGUUAAAUAUUAUUAUUUAUUUGCUAGUAAACUUACUAAGCUUUAUGCUUACUUUUUUUAUUUCUCUUUCUCUUAUAGUAUUGCAAAGCUACUUUAAGGAUCCUAAAGAAGUCGGAGAUCGUCCACACUAUCAACUACAACUGCUCGGUAUUUUAUAUCGAAACACGUUUGAGUUAUGGCAUGUAUAGGGAUUUAGUUAUUUUGUAUGUUUGUAAUGAUGAUUUUGCUAAUGAGUGAUGUGUAAGUAUUUGAUGAUGUAUGGUCAUUAAAAUGGUUAAGGAUGAAGGUGUUUGUUGUUAUGAAAGAUUAGGUGAUAAAUUAUGCAUGGAAAUCAUGAAAGGAUUAAAUUUUGCAAAGAAACAGAAUUCAGGCAGCACAGUGACGUGAAUUUGAAAAAUCACCCAAGAUAGUAUAAAAUGAAUUAGAGGGUGAAUGAUAUAUGGAAUUAAAUCUUGUUGAGUCUAUUUUCAUGGAAAAAUAACGGUGUAGAAAAAGGAAAUUUAUAUUUUAAGAUAUGUGAAUUUUAGUAAGAUAGGGUCAGAACUAUUUUUGGAGUCCCCUGUUCUGAGUUUAGAAAAUAAUUACAAAUUGUAAAAAAAUGGUUAUGAGUUGAAAUUUACAUGCUUAGAUUCCUUAAUGAGUCUAUUUUCUGUAGAAACAAGUAAGAACUUCAUAUGAAAAUCCUACAGUGAGAAAACUUAUUUUUAGUAACAAGAGGUCAGAAUAGUCGAAUGGUGAAACAGGGGAGACUUUAACUAAUAAACUGUACUAAUUGGCUGAACCAAAAAUUCUAAAAAUUUUAUGGUGAGUAGAUAUAUGAGUCUAGUUUCAGAUAAAAUUUACGGAAUUAAAGUUCGAGUUCUGUAGCUCAAGUUAUAAUUAAUUUAGCAACUUCUGCGCGAUUGGACAGAUUUGCUGUAAAUAGUGAAAUAAAUUUUCAAACCUAGUUUUUAUGCUCCGAAUUGGUAAGAUAAGCUAAGUAAUGCCUCGUGCUCGACUCCGGAAACGGUCUCGGGUAAGGGGUGUUACAGUAUCCAGAGGAAUUACCAGGAUUGCCACCAGAAAGAGAAGUGGAAUUUUCUAUAGAUUUGAUUCCGGGAACUACUCCGAUCUCCAUAGCUCCAUAUCGUAUGGCUCCUACAGAAUUAAAGGAGUUAAAGACACAAUUGCAAGAACUUGUUGACAGGGGUUUUGUCCGACCGAGUCAUUCACCUUGGGGUGCUCCGGUUCUGUUUGUGAAAAAGAAAUAUGGGUCUUUGAGAUUGUGUAUCGACUACCGGCAGCUUAAUAAAGUAACCAUAAAGAAUAAGUACCCGUUACCCCGGAUUGAUGAUUAAUUUGAUCAGCUGAAAGGUGCUACUAUGUUUUCAAAGAUUGAUCUUCGAUCAGGUUAUUAUCAGUUACGAGUAAAGGAGUCAGAUGUGCCAAAAACAACCUUUAGAACCAGGUACGGGCAUUAUGAGUUUUUAGUUAUGCCGUUUGGGCUAACUAAUGCACCUGCAGUAUUCAUGGAUUUGAUGAACUGGAUAUUCAGACCGUACUUAGACAGAUUUGUAGUGGUAUUCAUUGAUGAUAUUUUAGUUUAUUCUCGGGAUGAAGAAGAACAUGCAGAACAUUUGAGAAUUGUGUUGCAAAUUCUACGAGAGAAGCAGUUAUAUGCUAAAUUCAGUAAAUGUGAAUUUUGGCUUCGAGAAGUGGGUUUCUUGGACAAAUUGUAUCUGCCGAAGGCAUCAGGGUAGAUCCAAGUAAAAUAUCAGCUAUUGUCAAUUGGAAUCCACCGAAGAAUGUAUCUGAAGUUAGAAGUUUCUUGGGUUUAGCUGGUUAUUAUCGGAGAUUUGUACAGGGAUUCUCUAUGAUAGCUUCUCAAAUGACUCGAUUAUUGCAGAAAGAUGUGAAGUUCGAGUGGACUGAUGAAUGUCAACAAAGUUUCAAUUGAUUGAAAGACCUAUUAACGAAAGUACCUGUAUUAGUGCAGCCUGAACCGGAUAAGGAAUUUGUUAUUUACAGUGAUGCCUCAUUAAAUGGUUUAGGUUGUGUUUUGAUGCAAGAAGGUAAAGUAAUAGCCUAUGCUUCAAGACAACUUAAACCACAUGAAAGAAAUUACCUAGUACAUGAUCUUGAAUUAGCUGCUAUUGUAUUUGCGCUGAAGAUAUGACGGCAUUACUUGUACGGUGAGAAAUGUCAUAUUUAUACUGAUCAUAAAAGCUUGAAAUAUUUGAUGACACAGAAAGAUUUGAAUUUAAGACAGCGCAUGUGGCUUGAACUGAUAAAUGACUAUGAUUUGAUUAUUGAUUACCAUCCGGGUAAGGCUAAUGUUGUAGCUGAUGCUUUGAGCCAGAAAUCUCUGUUUGCUUUACGAGCUAUGAAUACCCGGUUAUUAUUGAUUGAUGAUGGUUCAAUCCUAGCAGAAUUAUGAGCUAAACCGACAUUUUUACAGCAAAUAUGUGAAGCUCAGAAGAAUGAUGAGAAGUUACAAGUUAAACGGGCACAGUGUGAGUCAGGUAAUGAUUCUGAAUUUCAGAUUGGUUCUGAUGGUUGUUUAUUAUUUAGAGGUAGGGUAUGUGUACCUCAGAAUUCAGAGCUCAUACAGAAGAUUCUACGCGAGGCUCACAGCGGUAUUAUGUCUGUACAUCCGGGGAGUAAUAAAAUGUAUAAUGAUCUGAAAAAGAUGUACUUGUGGUCGGGAAUGAAACGUGAUAUCUCUGAGUUUGUAUCAAGGUGUUUAAUAUGUCAACAAGUUAAAGCUGAACAUCAGGUACCUUCGGCGUUACUUCAGCCAAUUACUAUACCAGAAUGGAAAUGGGAAAGAAUCACUUUGGAUUUUGUAUCGGGGCUACCUUUGUCUCCGAGGAAAAAAGAUGCUAUUUGGGUGAUUGUUGACCGAUUAACAAAGUCAGCUCACUUUAUUCCGGUACGUAUGGAUUAUUCUUUAGAUAAACUAGCUGAACUGUACAUAUCUGAGAUUGUCAGGCUAUAUGGAGUGCCUGUCUCCAUUAUAUCAGAUAGAGAUCCCCGAUUUACGUCUCGUUUCUGGGACAAAUUGCAAGAAGCCUUGGGUACUCAGUUGUAUUUCAGCACUGCAUUUCAUCCUCAGACAGAUGGUCAAUCUGAGCGUGUAAUUCAAGUAUUGGAAGAUAUGCUCCGUUGUUGUAUACUAGAGUUUGAAGGUAAUUGGGAGAGGUAUCUACCUUUGAUUGAAUUUGCUUACAAUAACAGUUAUCAGUCUAGUAUUAAAAUGGCUCCAUAUGAAGCAUUGUAUGGUAGAAAAUGUAGAACACCGUUAUAUUGGACAGAGCUUAGUGAAAGGAAGAUACAUGAGGUUGAUUUGAUCCUGGAAAUAGAAGAAAAAGUAAAGGUUAUUCGGAAUAGUCUAAAAGCAGCUUCCGAUCGUCAAAAAUCAUAUGCCGAUCUUAAACGAAAAGAGAUUGAAUUUCAAGUCGGUGACAAGGUAUUUCUGAAAGUGUCUCCUUAGAAGAAAGUCCUCCGAUUCGGUCGAAAGGGUAAACUGAGUCCAAGAUUUAUCGGGCCUUAUGAAAUCAUAGAAAGAAUUGGACCGGUCGCUUAUCGAUUGGCAUUACCACCGGAACUUGAUAGAAUCCACAAUGUUUUUCAUGUAUCUAUGUUACGAUGAUAUCGAUCAGAUCCUUCACAUGUUAUUUCUCCGACAGAAGUAGAGAUUCAACUGGAUAUGACUUACAGUGAAGAACCGGUCAAGAUAUUGGCGCGGAAGACAAAAGAGUUUAGAAAUAAAAAGAUAAAUUUGGUGAAUGUAUUGUGGCAAAAGCACGGGAUUGAGGAAGCGACAUGGGAACCGGAGGAGGCAAUGAGGAAACAAUACUCAAACCUCUUUACUGGUAAGAUUUUCGAGGACGAAAAUCCUUAAAGGGGGGGAGAGUUGUAAUGGCCUAAAUUCAAGGUUAUCGGAACAAUGGUUUCGUAACCAUAGAUCCGAUUUAAAGAUAAAUUUAUUUCAAUAUUUUUACUUGAAAAUUGAUAUGAUAGGAAAAUCGUAUGAAAAUAUUGAUAGAAAAAUUUUACCAAUUUAGUGAUUAGAUAGAAAAAGAAAUUAUUGAAGAAAUUGGGUAAAAACAAGGUAUCGAGACCUCUAUCUCGUAAAACCGAGUAAAAAAUAAUUUUAUAAAUAUUUAUGAAAUGUUAUUAAUUUGGUAUUAAAAUUUCGUUAGGAAAUUUUAAUGUUUGGGUAGUCAAUUAAAUGAAAAGGACUAAAUUGUAAUAGGUGUAAAAGUUGCUAGAGUGAUUAAAUAGCUUAAGAGUCUAAUGAGAAAGGAUUUAAAAGGCAAUUAGACCCAAAAGUUAUUUGGGCUGGACGGAAAGGGUAUGAAAUCAGCAGAAAAAUUGAUAAAUUAAGGGUAAAAUUAGAAUAUUGCAAAAUUAACUAAAUAAAGCUAGGACUAAAUAGGAAAUAUCUAGAUUUCUCUUCAUUUCUCUUCAAUUCCAGCAGCUAAAAACGCCAUAGGAGGGUUCUCUAAGCUGAUAUUUCAUAAUUUUUGCACCAAGUGAGUUAAUCCUUGCCUUUUUCUUGUAAUUUUUGUGUUUCUAAGACUUUUACAACUAGGUCCUACUAUUAAAUUCAUUAGUUUUUGAUUUCAUGGAUGAAAUUGAAAGUCACCAUGGUUGAGUUCUGUAAUUUUAUGAUGAAAUAGAAUUAAAUUAAAGCUUUAAUUUGUUUAUGAGAUGAUUUUAUUAGGUAAUUUCAAUAGAAAUUGAUUUUUAGGACCUAAUUGUGAAAAUGCUUGGAAUUAAAGUCUAUUGCUGAAAUUAUGAUUCCUAAAGGUUGUAAACUAGUUUAAGGUGAUAGAAUAAAAUGUUAAUUGAGAAAAAUCAGCUCAAUUGAGAGGCUAAUUGAGUAGGGACGAAAUUAUCAUUUAUUAAAAGGUUAAGGGAAAAAUGGUAAUAAACAACUUGCACAAAAACAGUUUGGACAGCAGCAGUAGACUAAUUUUGAAAAAUCACCAUAAAUUUUAGAAAUCGAAUUAGAAUAUGAAAAAAAUAUAGAAUUAAAGCUUAUUGAGUCUAGUUUCUCAUAGAAGAAAUAGUGUAAGCAAUGGAUUUGUAAAUUUUGAGAUAUUAUGACUUUGAAAAAUCAUAAAAAAUUUAAGAAAAACAAUUAUGGGCUUAAAUUUAUAUUUCUAGAAUCCUUAAUGAGUCUAUUUUUAAUAGAAACAAACGAGAACAUUAUUUGAAUUUUGUAUGAAGAGAUAAUUAAUUUUUAGUGAAGGAGGGUCAGAACUGUCGACAGCAGAACAGGGGUGACUUUAAAGAAUAAACUGUACUUAUUGGCUAAACCAAAAAUUAUGAAAAUUUUAUGGUAAAAAUAUAUAUGAGUCCAGUUUCAGGGAAAAUUAACGGAUCUCAAUUUGGAGUUCCGUAGCUCAAGUUAUAAAUAAUUUAAUGACUAUGACUCAAAUAGACAGCUUUGAAUGAACUAUAAAUAAUAGUUGAAUUAUAGAGAAUGUUGCAUAUGAACAUGAAAUGUAUUAAAUUGAUAAUUAAAUUUAUUUAUUUAGAUCCGGAAGAUUCAAAUACGAAGCUAGAUCGAGGAAAGGAAAAAGUUCGGGAUUAGUAGAUUUUUAUUGUUUACAAACAAGUAUCAAGGUAAGUUCAUGUAACUUGAAUUAUAUUCUUAAAUGCUUGAAAUGCAUGUUUUUGAUAUGAAUAUGAUUUGAAUGUUCAUUAUAUGGAAAUUUAUGAAACAUUGAUAUAUUUGAUAAAAUGGGAAGAAAUCCCGUUUGAAUGAAAGGAAAAUUCGAUGGAUCUUUGAAAAGGAAUUGACGGUAAAAAGGAUCUAGCCCGAACGGGUGAUCCUAUCCUGAUAUAGCCCUCCCGAAGAAUAUGUGUAAAAUGGAUUUAGCCCGGACGGGUAAUCCGAAUUAGGGUCUGAGUUUAGCCUGGACUGGUAAUUCAGAUCCAAGCUCAUUAGAGUAAUUUCCGUUGCAGGGGAUUUAGCCUGGACUGGUAAUCCCGACAAUACUCUAUGAGUUUAUAUUGCAGGGGAUUUAGCCUGGACUGGUAAUCCCGCUGCAAGGUUGAGGUUCGCGGGAGUGUGCUCUCUGAAAUGGAUAUGUGCGCACAUGAAUAUGAAUUGACAGACCCGGAAUUGUGCAAUAAAUGUGUACCUCUGAAAAUCCAUUGAAAUUUCGAUAAAUUCAACGGGAUAAAUAUGGAAAAAUAACAAAGAAAUAGAAAUCAUGGUAUUGACGUGCUCAUCAAUCAUGGUAUAUAUAUUAUUGAUACAUGGAAAUUAUUGUACUAACUUGAAUGUUGAGUUUGUGCAUGUUAGGGUAAUAAUGCAUUGAAUGGAUAUAUGAAUGUUUAUUAUAUUGUAUUGAAAAUAUUAGGUAAGUAUAAUUCUUGUUACAUGAGCUUACUAAGUACAAAGUGCUUACCCCGUUUCCUUUUUCCCUGUUUUGUAGUGUUAAGAGCUCAGAGGUCGGAUUUGGUCGGAGACACAUCACACUGUCAACCUCAGGAUUUCGGUAUAUAAAGAAACUUUAUUUUGGAAAUCAAUGGCAUGUAUAAGCUAACAAAGUAAAUGUUAAUGUGAAAUGAAUGUAAAGUUAGCCAUUAGUAUGGUUAACAAACCUGGUUUUAGAUAUGUGAUGACGUUAUCUUAUAAAUAUGCAUGAAUUUAUCUUGAAAAUAUGUUGAAUUGAUUUGGUUGAUGUGGAUUGGUCUCGAUUUAAUAUUCUAGGGAAGGUUAGAUAUUUAUAAAGGGGCUAUAUUGAAUAUAAAAAAAAAUUUAAUUCGUAAACUCCGAUAAUGCCUUGUACCCUAUUCCGGCAAUGAAUAUGGGUAGGGGUAUUACAUUGGUAGUUUAAUGAUUUGUCUUAUUUGGUGGUUUAACAACAUAUCUGUUCUAGCAGCUUGAUUGCAAUUCUGGUAGCUUGACCACACUUAUUUGAUUUUGGCGAAUUACUGCAUUAUUUCUGGUAGUCUUGACUGCACAUUUCUGUAUAGUGACAAAUGAUCACUUAUUUAGUGUGUGGGGUUGGAUGGGUAUUUAUUACCCUAAUUAGUGUGUAGAGAUGGACGGAGAUGGUGUGUAGCAAAUAAGGGUAGGAUUUGUAUUUGAUAUGUGAAAUAUGUUGCAUCGCAUGUUAUGCCAUGCCAUUUGUAUCUGAUAUGUGAAAUAUGUUGCGUUGCAUAAAAUUGUCAUGCCAUUUGUAUCUGUUCAGUUAUGGAAUUCUGUUUGACUAUCUAAUAUCUGUUAUAUGCUUGAGAGCUGAGUUGCACAUCAAACUUUGUUAGGUCAUCCUAUAUAUAUUUAUUUUAUCUUCUCAAGUAAUCAAUAAACUUAGGACUGAGCGGUGUGCGGAAGCUCAGAUUGGAUUCUCAAUUAAUAAAAUGAGACGAUUUAUGUUUUUAAAUUUAACUCUAGACUUGUUGGACUAUUUAAAUAUUUUGGACGUUAUUUUUAUGUUUCUUUUUUGGGUUUUCUACUGGAUUAUGCUUUUAAUAAAUUGCAAAAGUAUUCAUUUUCACAUUUUGAAAUCAUGCUUUACAAAUUAAUGACUUUGAAACUUCCAUUGUGAAACUAAGUAACAAAUUAACCGUCUUUUGUUAAGUAAAUAAGACCUACAUGUAUUUUUCUGAAAAAUUGCCAGAGAUUUGUCAAAAUUGACAUUUUUCGAAAAACACACAUUUCUAGUUCAAAAUUUGGAAUUUAAAACAAGUUCAUGUAAUUCCUCAAGACUCGACCGUAACGUUUAAGUCGGGUUUAGAGCGUUACAAGAGAAACUAAACCCAAGCCGUCGGGCUUACCCAAUACACCUAACCUAGCUCCCCUCAUUCUCACAUGGACCAUUAGAACAAUCGGCAACUAAAAUAUCCUAGAUAGAAAACAGACAACACACAAAUUCAGGGUAGUUUGUAUAACGUAAAGCUGCUCGCAUCGGAGUGAGAGUAGCUUUAUUAGAACUCAGGGUAGUUACGAUAUAUGUAACGAAAGUUACAUUGUUUCCAUUUUAACAUAAUUAAUGGACGAGAUUGUUCUGGAUACCUUUGGGAUAUGAUAGUAAAUGUUAUAUAAUGACAUGUAAUUACAGAGUAAUUAAUAUAUAUGUGGUCCAAGUGAGAGAUUGUUGAAAAAUAUGGACAUCACAUAUAUAAUAAUAGUAAUUACAUGUUACUGUUUACUAUCAUAAAAGAUUAACCCAAAUUAAAAGUAAUCUAAUUGGUUAAGGUUUAUUGGGCUUUAGUUAUUAAAUGAAGUGGGGGACAAAUAUGUGUAGAAACUCUAACAACUAAUUUCUAAUUGAUGAUGGAUUGAUUGGAAAUUAGGGUUAAUGUGCAAAAAUUAUAUAUUAGGGUUGUGGUUCCCAAAUUAUACAUCUGUAACUUUUCUAAUAUCCCUCUUUAGAAAAGAGAGAGCCACAUUUUUUGAAUUACUUGUGUGCUAAUUUGGAAGAUUAAAACCAUAAGAUCUAAAGAUUUCAAGAAAUUGAUGGAUUCAUGUAUGCUUCCACAUCUAGUUUUGUUCUUGAUUGAUUCUUGAUGAUUUGACAUAAUAGAUCUUGAUUUGUUGAGUUUUAUAUUAGAUCUUGUUUUACCGUUCUAACAAAAGAAACAAGAGAAAUUCAAUUUGUAAAUUCAGAAUUUAUAAAAGUAUGGAUAAAAGCUAAAUCUUCUAACCAAUGAUUUUUUUUUUUACACAAUUACAAAAUGUUUAUAAAGUAAACCAAUCAAAUUUCACAAUCCUUAAGUUACCAUAAAAAGUUGUUUCUUUCCCCUUCUUUUCCCUUUAGCCAUCUUCUCAUUAACCAAAUCCUCUCCCAAUUUUCCAUUUGUAUUGUGCAAAUUUAUGCAUGCAUAUUUUCACAUCCAAAUCCAUUCCAUUUCCAUUGUGAGCCCUUCCCAAAUGAAUGUUCAUAGUGAUUUUCGCCCCUAAUUCGAAUUGUCGAACAUUACAUCAUCGCGCCGCUUCUUUGGGUUCGCUUCAGGGUUUCCUCUUCUCAUCAUUGCCACAAAUUCAUCAUAGUUUAUCUUUCCAUCCUGCAAAUAAUUUACGAAUUCUUUUUUAUGUAAGUUAAACCCUUUUCUAUUAAGAAAAUGGAAUAUGUAUGCAUGUAUGUGUAUUGCUUACAUUGUCGUUGUCGACUUCAGAAAUGAUUUCCUUGAUGUCUUUGCCAUCAUGCAUACCAUACUCACGGAGAGCUUGUUCUAGCUCUUCUAUCGUGAUGUACCUAAAUGUAAACAUAUCGAUAGCAAUAAGUAUUGCGAUCAAUUACAAUAAAUAUCAAUAGAUCAUAAAACAGUGAUCGUAUCAUUGUGUUUUGACUAUCGUUACCCGCUAUUGUCUUUGUCGAAGUGUUGGAAGGCACGGUACAGAUGUUCUUCCCGAUCCAUUCGAUUCAUAUGCAUGGUGGCCGUUAUGAACUCUUCGUAAUCUAUAGUUCCGUUACUAUCCGCAUCCGCCUUUUGUUAUAAUAAAGAAAAAAGAAUGGAGGAGUUAGAAAAAAAAAACACCAUAUAUAUAGUUAGAAGGGGCUUGGCCGCUCAAAUAUUUGAAAAUUUUAACUAGGUCCCUUCAAAAUUUUAAAAAAUUCUAAAUAAACCUUCAAAUAGUUUAAAAAAUUUUAAUUAAACCCUCAAAUUUUUUGAAAAUUCUCAUUAAUCCUCUCAAAAUUGUAACAUUUUUAAUUAAACCCUAGUCCGUUUGGAAAUUCUUAUUAAACUCCUAAAAUUUUUGAAAUCUUUAAUUAGACCCCUGAAAAUUUUAAAAAUUUUAAGUAAGCCCCAAAACUCCGCUACCAUAUAAAGUUGCACUAUUGAAUAAUUGGAAACAGAACUUACUGCUUCCAUUAAUUGUUUGACUUCAUAUUCAGUUAGCUUCGUUCCUUGCUUCGCAAGCCCUUGCUUCAAUUCUUCGAGCGUUAUCGUGCCGCUGUUAUCGGAAUCUAUGGUCUUGAACAUCUCCUUCAACCCCUGGAUUUCUUCCUCCGAUAAACAUCCUGCAAUGACCUGCAACAACAACAAUUUCUUGGUUUCAUACAAUAAUAUGGACCUAUCUUAACCUUUUAACCAAUGGGGUGUGUUUUCAAUGAGGGGUUUUAAUUAAUUUUACCCUUAAAGCAACUUUCUUGAAAUUGUUCAUUGCUUUGAACUGUUUGAGCCUGCCUAAGACUGCAUUGUCAAGAGGAAUAUCAGGUGCUUCACCAUCCUCUUUAAUCCAUGGAUGAUCUGUUGGGUGGCCAUACAUUUACUCUGUCAGAUUUUUUUCGAUUGCGUCGUAUUUUUCACAGUCGAUAUUAUGUUCGGUUAGUAGAUAAUUAGGUUAAAAAAGGGCAUAUACUUACUUAGAACUUGUUGUGCUGUUAACCUUUGCUUGGGAUCCAAGUUUAACAUUUUGGUAACAAGAUCCUUUGCUUGAGGUGAAAUUGCAGGCCAUGGAUCACUUUUGAAAUCGAUUUCCCCACGUAAAAUUGCACUGAAGAUCCCAUUUUCGGAUUCUAUCAUAAAAUAAUUGUCUUAGUUUUCAGGGUUCAAUGUAUAUAUAUAUACACAGCAUAAUAUAUAUAUACACAGCAUAUUGAGUACCUAAUUGAGUUAGUAUCACGAGUAAAUCAAGUAUCAAUUUAAUUUGAGUGUUUUCUAUCUAUAUAUUACGUCCUUAAUUGAGUUGGUGUCAUGCAUCAAUCGGGCAUAAAUUCAAUUUGAAAAUGAUUAAAAUACUCUUUUAUAUACAAAGUAAAUUACAUUAUUACGAAGGUGUUUUCUAUACUAUAAAUUAAAUCUCUAACUGAGUUGGUGUCACGAUUCAAUCGAGCACUAACUCAAUCUAAAAAAGACUAAAAUACAUUUAUUCUAUACAAAGUAAGUUACAUUAUUACGAGGGUAUUUUUAUGUUUUUAAAAUAUUUUUAGGGGUGUAGGCAUAAAUUUUUCUUAUGGGGCUAGAAGUAAAUUAUAAAUAUUUGAGGGUGACAAAAUGAAAAUUUACCAUUAUACUAACUUAUAUUUUCUAAAGUGGUUCUAAAACAAUAGGAGGGGCAAGGCCACUGCCGACCCUUCUAGUUUCGCCAUGAAUUUUUUUCACCCACAUCAUGAAUGUGCCAUACUCUUAUAUAUAUAUAUAUAUGUAUGUGUAUGUAUAUGUAUAUGUUAUUUAGUUACCUGCCCAAAAGGGAGGAAAACCACUUAGAAGAAUGUACAACAUAACACCAAUACUCCAUAUAUCAGCUUCUGGUCCAUAUUUCCUCUUCAAUACUUCUGGUGCAAUAUAAUAUGCGCUACCAACAAUGUCCUUAAAUACAUCACCUGUUCCGAAGGCACCGAGUUAAAAGAAACCGAAAAUCAACCCCAACUUGAAAAUUUUAACAAGAUUAUGUUUUUACCUGGCUUGUAAAAGAGUGAUAGACCAAAAUCCGUAGCUUUGAGUGGUGAAUUUUCCUCUUGGUUCAACAACAAGAAAUUUUCAGGCUUGAGGUCCCUAUGGAAAACCCCCAUAGAAUGGCAAGUAUGGACGAUUUGAACAAUGAUUCUAAGCAAAGAAGCGGCCGCACGUUCACUGUAAUGGCCUUUAGCAAUGAUCCUAUCGAAAAGUUCACCGCCGGCACAUAGUUCCAUCACCAAAUGUACCGAAUGUUUGUCUUCGUAAGCUCCUUUGAGUUCCACGACAUUAGGUUGUCCCGUCAAAUGGUGCAUGAUUUGAACUUCUCUACGAACAUCUUCGAUAUCUUCUUUGUUAACGAGUUUCCUUUUAGCUAUCGUCUUGCACGCGAAUUGCUCGCCAGUUACCUUAUGGGUACACAAAUAGGUAACCCCAAAUUGUCCCCUACCCAAUUCUUUUCCAAUGGUGUAAGUGUUUCUCACAUCUUCCAUAGGACGGCAUAACACGGUUCCAAUUGGGUUAGGCUUGGGAGUAGGCUUAGGAGAAGCUUCCUCUGAUGGUGAAGCCGGCGGUUGUGUCGGUGAGGCUUUCGAGAAACUUUCGUUACGGGAACAAAUGCUAACGUUACCAUUGUUUUCGGGGGAGGCGACGCCUAAUUCGUUUGUCAGACUUUCGGGGUUGCCUCGAGAGCAACAAUUCCCCAUGUAUGGUGGGGAAGAUGAAGCACUCGAGACAAAAGAAAGGGUGAUGAGGGAAGGGAUUAAACUUAAACAAGAUAAAGAAUUAUUGAAAUUUUGAUUGGGGUUGAAAGGGAAAACAAGUAAAAAUAAGAAAAAAUAGUUUGUGAAAUUUAGUAAUACAACAGCUUGAUUUGGGGUGUACAAUUUUUUUAUGGUAUUGAUAGUGAGGGAUUUUAGGAUUUUUGACUAUGUUUGAAAAUCCAACAUGUUUUAUGGACAAGGUCCUGAGGAUUUUUAGGACAAAUAUUGAGAAAAAAGAAAACAUAUUUCUCAUCAUAUGAUCUGUGACUUCUAUUAAUGACGGAGCUAUUCUAGGGGUGUAUUCUCCGUUACGGUAGAAAAUGGGUUAAAAAUGUCUUUUCACCAUAGAUAUAAUAAAGAACAAUUGAUUUUUGCAGUUAAAAUUGCAUUUCUACCCAAACACAAAGUUGGGAUUUUGGGCAUAUUUACUUUUGGUUUUUGCGUUUAAAAAGUGAAAAAUACCCUUAUUUAUAUUAAUUAUUUAAAAAGUAUAUAAAAAACUAGAUUAAUUUAUAUUGUAUAUAAUUAUAUAUAAUUAUUUAAAUAUUAUUUAUUAUGUUUAAUUUUUUUAAAAUAUUUUAUAUAUCAUCAAAUUUACAAAUAAUUUAUGUUUAUUACUUAAAAUGUAUUUAAAAUUUAUAUUUCAUAUUUCAUAUAUCAUUAUAUUAAAUUAUUUAAAUAUCAUACAACUUAAUUAAUUUUUUACUUUCUACUAUCAUGUCUAAAAAUGACAUUUUAACUUUCAACCGUAAUUUUUGGCAACAAUAGAGAGCACUAAAGAGUAACAAAUACACUUUUUUGUAGCACAUUUCUACUAUACUUUUCAAAAGUAUUUUUUUUUUCUAAGAACACUUUUCAACUGCAAAAGCAAUGGAGAACCAACCUUAAGAGUUGGCUAUCGUCUUGCUAAUACAAUUUUCUCUGUACAUAAUUCUAUCGGUGAAUGUACCUGAUGUGCCCUUAGUGUAGUAUUUCAGUCUAUGUAUACUUGUAAUUUUUUCAAAUAGAUUGAUUAAUAAAACAAAAUCAUGAAUUACAUUUAUAUACUUUAUAUGAUUGUCCUUGUAGAGGCCCAAUUUAGCCCAGGCCUAUAAACCCAAAAUAAUAAUAAAAAAACAAAAAUAAGUAAAAGUCUAAAUAUUAUUAACAGUCCAUCAGUCUAAAUAUCAAAAACCAGCCCAAAACAUUUACAUUAACCCAAGUAGCCCAAAAUACCCCUGGCCCAAAUGGCCCAAAACUUAAACAAACUUCAACCAACUAGGAACCCUAGCCUCCAGCGUGCCUCCGUACGACCCCCUGCACGCCUCCGUACGCCACCCUAGCGCCUCCACGUUGCCUUUCGUACCUGCAAGAAAACAAAAGGGACAACAGCAAAACAGAGACAAAAAAGGGAGCAAAUUUUUGUAUUCUUUUUCUUUUUUCCUUUAUUUUUGCUUUUGGCUACAAAAGCCAAAGAAAGGGAAUGUAAUGAACACACGCACACAACACAACAGAAAAAAAAAUCAAUACAAAAAAAAAGCUUGAAAAGAAAAAAGUUUCCACAAGGUGAUUUUAAUCUCGUUUUUCUUUCGAUUUAGUUUCUGUUUUCUUUGAUUUAUCUACCGCAUAAAAAAAACGAAUAAAGGGGAGGGCAAACCAAAUACAAAGAAAUGAAUUUUGUUUAAAGAAAAAGAGAGAGGGGAAUUUGGGAUUAGGGAUCUUAAUAUAUAUAGAUGAAAAUUUGAAAUCAAAGUUGCAAUCAAAGUUGAAAAGAGAUCUCAAGGCUGAAAGAUCAUCCAUCCAGGCUUGAACACACCAGUUUGCGGAGGUGAAUCGGCAAUUGAAGUGGGGGAUUUGGGAUUAGGGAUUAGGGAUUUGCUUCAUUUUCUGAAAAAGAGGCAGAGUGCCAUUCAAACUUUUUUUUCCUUUCUUUCUUUUAGGUUUAGUUACUAAUAAAACAGCGCUGUUUAGCCUUUGGAAUCUGGGUGCCGAAACGGCACAGUUUUGUGUUAACUCUCGAACCGACCCAACCCCGGGGAAGGAUCUGCGCGUUUAGUUGUUAAAGGGAUAAUUGCGCAAUUCAUCCCCCCCUUUCGCGCUACCACAUGAUUGGGCCCAAUUCGAAUUCAUUUUAUUCUUAAUUCUUUC